RNAcentral lists this long non-coding RNA (52602 nucleotides) under Sorghum bicolor (sorghum). Its description in RNAcentral is "long non-coding RNA (SBIC_LNC017509)". The stretch from base 32074 to 32180 matches the Rfam family "Plant small nucleolar RNA R71". Lineage: Eukaryota; Viridiplantae; Streptophyta; Magnoliopsida; Poales; Poaceae. The record is from RNAcentral.
UGGCGAAUGAAUGGUGUAUGGUGAUGAUGGUGAUAACAAUGGUGAAAGUCUAAUUCUACUUUUGCUCUUUUGACGGGAUACAUACCUUCCUUGCUUUUUGAAACUUUAUGAGGAGAAUGAGAUGCUCUUCUUUUUCUUUCCUCUCUGGUGGGUAUCUUGUACCCCUAAUUCUACUGUCGGACACUUGUCCAUUUUUACCUCUCGUCUCACUUUUUCUUUCUUUCGAGGUUCUGGGCACUUGCCCCUUUUUAUUUCCUCGUUUAUUUUUUUUCUUUUCUUCUCUUUUCUUUUUUUUUCAGAGCACUCAUCUCUUGAGAUAAUAUAGCAAGUGGUAGUAGCAGGAUAACUUAAGCAUUUAUUUCACAAGGGAAAACAAAAAUAUUUUUUGCUAUUCUCUCCCGGAUUAGGAGUAGAAUAUUUUUGGGUGAUUCUGGAGAUGGACAUGGAUGGAUAUAUGUGGAUGGUACUUCCAGAGUAGAAGUAGCAUAUAUGAGUGAACGUGCAAGUGAAUCUUGAUUUAACCACAUGACAAGCUCCUAAGGGUCUACACAGCUUGACCACACUCAAUGCUCAUAAGCAGUAAAUAGUAAAUGUGUGGCUCAAAGUCUAGCAAGCAUGUAUAUAUGGCUGUGGUAGGAAUUUAAACUCUCAUCAUACAGAAACUCAUCAUGGAAUAUUUUAAAGAUUUUUCAAAGAUGAAAUUCUCCAGAAUUCUAGCAUCUCUAGGAACAGAUAAACAGCAGCUCAACCUUCCCAUAUCAUAUCCGUUAACAACUUAGACUUCAGAUCAAGUUUUCAUCCCACAAGUUUAGGUCUAGAGCAAGCUUUAAAUUAUAACAGUUAUGUCUAAACUUGAGAGAGAACUUCAAAUUUUAAAAAUUAAGCAGACCAACUAUUCAUCAUAUCCAUGCUAGAGUUUUAUUAUUAAGAUUCAGAUUAGCAUAGCCACUUUAUUUAUUUAUUCAACACACUAAGCAAAAGAUAUAUCUAUAAGCACAAAAUCUUUAUUUGAUUUUUCAUAGUUUAUGUAUUUUAAUAUUCUAACAUAAUAUAAGUGAAGGGUCGAGAUGGCGGACUAGAGGGGGGUGAAUAGUCCUUUCUAAAACUUAUUACGCCGGCUAACCGAAACAAGUGCGGAAUUAAAACUAUCGGUCUAGCCAAGACUACACCCCUCUAUCUAAGUUCUCUAGCACCUUGUAAAAGAUCCUAAACAAGCAAACAAGGUGCUACCUUAGCAAGAGCUCACCUAACCAAUUCUAGGAGCAAGGUCACACAAACCUAUGCAACUAGUACUUUGCAAACCGAGGGAGCUCCUAUACAAACUAGUGAGGCAAAGUGCACAAAGCCUAAUCUCACUAGCAAGCUCAAUAACAAGGCAACUAAUGCCAAAUUAGAGAGCGCAACUUACUUAGCUACACAAACUAAGCAAUGUGACUAACAAGGUUACACAAACCAAAUUAGUCAGGCAAGGGAACUACUUCUAGCUACACAAGCAAGAAGGUAACUAGCAAGCUACACAAGCUAACUAAUUACAAGAACAACUGCACAAGCACAAGUAUAUGAAUGUAAGAAUAAGCUUGUGUUAGGGACUUGCAAACCAACGGGAAGAACAAAUGUUGACACGAUGAUUUUCUCCCGAGGUUCACUUGGUUGCCACCAAGCUACGUCCCCGUUGAGACAUGCUCCAAGGUUGCCGCCGGUCCUCUUGCUAGUGGUGACCCGCAAGUCACUCUCUCCCACGUGGAGUGCUUACCACAAGCUCUAGCACUUGACCCGGCCGGACCACUUGUCGCUCUUCACGUCUCGCUCAACUAGAGUUGCUCUUCGCGAUCCCCGCGGGGUGAGCACCGUACCCCUCACAAUCUCUUCUCCGGAGCACCGCACAAUCUCCUUGCGUGCUUCGACGGAGUCACAAGCCACCAAGCCGUCUAGGAGGUGGCAACUUCCAAGAGUAACAAGCACCACCGGCUUGCAACACGAACACCUAGUGCCACUCGAUGCAAUCUCUCAAUGCAACGCACUAGAAUCACUCACUCGCUAUUGAUUCGCGCUCUUGCAAGCACAAGUGAGUUAGAGGCUUUCCUAGCACUCCCCAAGCANNNNNNNNNNNNNNNNNNNNNNNNNNNNNNNNNNNNNNNNNNNNNNNNNNNNNNNNNNNNNNNNNNNNNNNNNNNNNNNNNNNNNNNNNNNNNNNNNNNNNNNNNNNNNNNNNNNNNNNNNNNNNNNNNNNNNNNNNNNNNNNNNNNNNNNNNNNNNNNNNNNNNNNNNNNNNNNNNNNNNNNNNNNNNNNNNNNNNNNNNNNNNNNNNNNNNNNNNNNNNNNNNNNNNNNNNNNNNNNNNNNNNNNNNNNNNNNNNNNNNNNNNNNNNNNNNNNNNNNNNNNNNNNNNNNNNNNNNNNNNNNNNNNNNNNNNNNNNNNNNNNNNNNNNNNNNNNNNNNNNNNNNNNNNNNNNNNNNNNNNNNNNNNNNNNNNNNNNNNNNNNNNNNNNNNNNNNNNNNNNNNNNNNNNNNNNNNNNNNNNNNNNNNNNNNNNNNNNNNNNNNNNNNNNNNNNNNNNNNNNNNNNNNNNNNNNNNNNNNNNNNNNNNNNNNNNNNNNNNNNNNNNNNNNNNNNNNNNNNNNNNNNNNNNNNNNNNNNNNNNNNNNNNNNNNNNGUCCACACCGGACGCGUCGGUGCCACCGGACUCGUGCGCAGAGAGCUCCGCAAAGUCGCACGGUCAUCGGACGCAAGGCACCGGACGCACCCUGAGCGUCCGGUGCUCACCGGACUCAUGCGCAGUGAGGGUCGCCAAACCGCUCGCACACCGGACGCUGAGCACCGGACUCUCUCCGGUGCGUCCGGUGCACUCUGCUGCACCCGACAGCACACCAGACGCUAAAGGCCAGCGUCCGGUGCCUCCACGCAGAGCGUCCGGUGAGUGUUUCCUACUGAGAAACACUCCCGCAACUUCUCCAAAUUUUCCACCGGCGCAAUAGAAAAUAUACACUUAUUUUUCUCAAAAGCGCCGAAUCCCGCCUCGCAAGCUCGGCGGGAGGGAGAGAGGAACCCACACGCCUCUCAACCCUAGGAACUCCACCUCCUUUGUAGAUGUGCCAACACCACCAAGUGUACACCACCAUGUGCAAGUGUGUUAGCAUUUUCACAAACAUUUUUCCAAGGGAGUUAGCCUUGCCACGCCACUCGAUCCUAACACGUAUGCAAAGUUAGAUCGCUCAAGUGGCACUAGAUGACCGAUAUGCAAACAAGUUUGCCCCUCUUGAUAGUACGGCCAUCUAUCCUAAAUCCGGUCAUAAACUUCUCUACCCACCUAUGACCGGUGAAAUAGAAAUGCCCUAGGUUAUACCUUUGCCUUGCGCAUUCCAUUCCAUCUCCUCCAAUGUUGAUGCAACACAUUCACCAACCAAUCACCAAAUGAUAUGAUCCACUUCAUAUCAUCACGUGACCGUAUUGGUUCAUCGAUCUUGACCUCACUUGCUCUUCACCGUUGCCUCGGUCCAUCGGCGCCAAGUCUUGCUCAAGCUUCACCGUCACACGCGGUCCCUCGCGUCAAAGCCUCCGACUUGCCCUUCACUCUUGCAACCGGUACAUCAAGCCAAGCCUCAUCUUGAUCUUCUCCACCUUGGUCACAUGACUCCAUGUCAUGUCUCAUAUGCAAUGAGCUCCUCCAUCAUCACAUCAUCACCUGUGGACUAAUCUCCUGUAUAUCUCAUAUAAACACUAUUAGUCCACCUAAGUUGUCACUCAAUUACCAAAACCAAACAAGGACCUUUCAAUAAGUAUAAAGAUAGGUAGAAAUACUUAGCGAGAUAAAUGGGGGUGCUCUCCCCCAAGCUGAAUUUUGACGUAAUUUCUCUUGAUGUAGCUAGCAGGUGGCAGAGGUGUAUUUGAAAGUCAGCAGCAUUCUGACAGCGAUUAAAAUGUCCUCCGUCUCCUAGUCUUCUUGAUUCUUAAAUUCUGUGGAGCUUAAAUAGACAACAAAGCUUGUGAAACUAAUUAAGUGUUAGCAUAAAUAUCUAGCCUUCAUCAUGUUGAGCUUCCUCAAUAAAUAUUACUCCGAGUUUCUAUAUUUUUAUUUUAUAAAGCAAAAAAGAAAUAUUUAUUUUAUUUUUAUGCCACCACAGUGAAGGUACUUAUGGGUUUUAUGCCACUCGUAUACUCACAUGGGGCUUAGUAUUUUUUAACAUUUUUAUUUUCUUUUCAAGAUAGCAUGAUUAACUAAUAAUCUAUUUAAGGAAAGUAAAUAAUUAAAGGGAAAAGGGAAUGCAGAAAGGAUAAAUAUGGAUAACUACUGAUCUUACCUUUCGGCGAGGGUUCAAUGUUUUAAGUCUUCUUAACAAGACUUCUCACCGUGUUCAUUCUUCAGGUGCGUCAUUUGAUUCAGGUGCGGACCUUGACGUCUGCACCUCUUCGUUUGCCCAGCAGUUCAAAGUGUGGCGUUGGCAGUGUCCUGCUCAGUGUGUUUGUGCUCGUAGAUCCAGAUCCUUCACUUGGUAGAGUCUAAGAGUUAUAAAACUCCUCCGUGUUUUGCUCAAAGUGCACCUGCUUAUAGAGACAAGGCAGAGAUCAAGUGCAUGGGUCCUGUUGGUGGAAAACACCAACAGAACCUAAAGUGUAUUUGUUCUUCUCUAUCCCUAAGCAUAGUGAGCAAGACAAAGUUGAUGGAUGAAAGUUCAUGAGUGUAGCACUUAUAACAUUAGUCAGAUCAGAUUACUCAACCUUAUGGAAAGACAAUCUAUCUAUGUAUAUGUCUUUUUCUUUAUAUCUCUCAAAGAUUGAAUGUGUAGCAUUUUAGCUCAUAUGAUUAGGAGUGUGGGUUCAUGGAGGUAGUACUAAGAACAAGGAUAAAAGGACUAAACAUGUUGAAUCAGUUGGGUUGGUUAAUCUAGAGUUGUAAAUCAUACAUGUUUGUCUCUUUUGUUUAUAUGAACGCUAGAACCAAGAGAAGCUUAUAAAAGUGAUAGUCAAGUAUCUUAAGAUGUUACCUUGCUUGAAGAGUGAUGGUACAGUAUCACCUUGUGGAAGCUUUUCUUUCUUAGCGGUUGUGCAUCGUGUUUGUGGCACCCUCCAUGGAUCAUCUCUCUAUGAUGAAUGAGCUAUGUCCUUCUUGUGCAAAUUGUUAAACUCAUCUGUCACUCUCUUCGUCUCUGAUGUGAGUUUAUCUCAGGACUUCCCAAAUCAAUAUUGAAAGUUUUUCUGCAGGGGUUAGUCUGACAAAAAUAUACCAAUGUCUACACAAGAAGUUUUUAGUUCAAUAACCGAACUAGACUCCAUGUCUAAUCAGAUUAAGGAAGGCUAUUUAACCUAAGCACCAUGCUUAAUUUAAAAGCCAAUAGAAGUAUGUGCAGUACUGCCAAACUAACACUUACUAGUAAAUAGACAAAGGUAACAUGACAGCAUUUAUAGAGAUCUACUCAAGUGGAGAUGAAGUAGUGUGAUUAGUAUUUAACAAAUUGAGCAUGUCUUAAAGGUAGGGACAACCAACAUAGCAACAUGGAAAAUGAUGUUUUUAUGUAAAGUACUCCCCCAAGCAUGAAUUUUGCAGAAUUCAAGUUUGGAUGAAUUUAAUUCAGUGUUCCAUGAUGAUUGGUUGGACAUACCUUGUACUUGCUUGUCAUUCAUCUGUUCUUCUUGUUCCAAUCCUAGAAAGGUUAGUGACAAGAAUACCCGAAGGAAUAUUUUUACAAUUAUCCUUAUAUGCUCAAUACACAAGGUAAUGUUGCAAAUAAUUAAAAACUCAUGUUAUGAUCUGAUCAGUGCUUAUUUUAGGACACCAAGCUUGUCCUUGGGAAACCAUCAAUUUAUGUCGGCGAAGUGGUUUCCCUUCCAACACUGACCUAAAUCAAGAUCUACUCAACGAGAUCUGCAAUAUUUAUUAUAGACAUAUGCAUCGACAACCGCCCUUUUAAAGUUUUUAUAAAUAGAAAGGAAGAGGGGGGUUGGAGAUCUCAAAUGUGGUGAUGUUGGAGAGACCAAUAGAUUGGGAAGAUGUUGCAUAUGAGCAUGGAGUAGACAAAGUGGCUAUGAAAUAAAUUCCAUGCUCAUUAAUGUUAUCUUCGUCUCUAAUCUGAAUGUUUAGAGUUUCUCUUGGAUUGGUCUCACUUAUGUCCUCUUCUAUAGUUGGAUGAAUCCCAUCUUCAAAGGGAGUCAAGAACUCACCAUUUGAAAUUGAACCAAAGUCAGAAUUCAUUAAGGCUUCUUCCUUAUCCAUCCAUUCUACACAUUCUAGCCAUUUAGAACUUGUGAUCAGGAAAGGGGAGGUGUUAGAAUAUUCAAUAUGGCUUAGCUCUCCUUCACUUGAUAUGUCAUCCUCAACUUCUUCAUAACAGGAACCAGGACAUUCUCUAAGAGAACCAUUAUUGCGAGGAUUUGAAUUAUCCCUGCUUGAAGGUCUCUUAUGGAACCAGAAGUCUAAACCAUCAGCAUCUGAAAGAUUUAAGGUCGGAAUUCCUUCCUCCCUUGGAGAAUUUUGGGGUAUUGAUGGUUUAGGAUCGAUAGCUAAAGUUUGGAAUUGAAAUGGUUGUGAUCUGGCUAUCAAAACUUCUUCUUCUUGUCUAGGACCUGGUUCUGUCUCUUUCUCAGGAAUAUAAAAGCUAGGAGACUUUCCGCUCAUUAAAUCAGUCAAAUUCCAAGCUUCACUAGCGGAUAGGUGGUGGAAAGAUCCUCCAGAGGCCGUAUUCAAGGUUUGCUUAUUUUCCCCACUAAGUCCCUCAAAAAAGUGAAUUAGAAGAACUUCUUCUGGAAUAGAGAGCUUUGGGCCAGUGAGAGUAAGGUUAAUAAAGCGGUCCCAUGAUUUCCUUAGAGAUUCUUCUUCCAGUUGUCUAAAAGAAAUAAUCUCACACCAAAGUUCCGCCACUUUGGAGAUUGGAAAAUAUUUAGAAAGAAAACUACUAUAUAACUCCUUCCAAUCUCUAUGAACACUCCCUAUUUUGAGUUUGUACCAAUGUCUAGCUUUUCCCGUUAAAGAGAACGGAAAGAGCUUCCAUUUGAGGGUCUCAUCGGACAUUCCUUCUAUGCGAAGGAGGUCACAGACUCGAUAAAACUCUCUUAGGUGUGUGUAUGGGUUUUCCUCACCUUCUCCUGAGAAAGGUUGUUUUUGAACAAAUUCUAUGUAUUCGGGGUCUAUCUCAAAACUAGAUGCUAUGAUAGGCUUUGAAGAUUUUGGUGGUUCAAGAUGUGUGCCCGUAGGUCUAUGAAAUUCAUAAAUAGACAUGUUUGAAUUCAUGAUAGACCAGAGAUCAAGUAUUAGAUAAGAAGAAAGAUUAGCAGAGAUGAGGCAAAGGAUAAAACGAAAAUAUAUUUUUUUUAUUUUUUAGAAAAUGAUUAAGCUAGUUCGUAGUCAACUCAGCAACCGAUUCCCCAGCAACGGCGCCAAAAAUGCUUGUUGACACUUGCUAACACCACUUGAAUACUAGGUUGUCAUCCCCAGCAUGGCACUAGAGAGUACUAUGGUAUUUAUACGCACACAGAUAAUCCGCAAGCGCACGGAUACCGUUGAAGCUUUUGCCCGGUUAAAGGUUUUAUCGUAUCCACAGGGAAACGGGAGAACCAACUACGCUCUAACUUAACCAAGAUAGAUGGAUAGGUGUAAAUAGGAAAGAUGGUAGAAUUGAAUAAGAACAAUAUUAAAGGUAAGAUAACAAUAGGUGAUAAUAUGGGAAUAGAGAGUAGAGCAAUUCUAUUAUAUGGGCGAUGGUAGCAGAAUAGAGAGAAUAACUAUGGUUUCUCUACUUCAAAGGGGUAUGUCUAUGUCUGGGACGAACCACGUGAUAAGAGUACACCACAAAGGAUGCUUAUCCUUAGGCCGAUAAACCCUACCCGUCCUACUAACGAGAGGUGGACUACAGAGGACCAACGUAACUGUCACCUACGCGGCCUACCACACGAUCCAGCUAGACAAGGGAUAUCCACAAGUAAUCUAGGUCUAAGCACCACGCUUACACCUAUACUACAACUCUAACCUAUAGCGUCCUAUAGAUUAGAAGUACUCAAAAGAGUUGUGAACCAGAACAUACAUGAUUAGUAAUUGCAUAAUGAAUUAGAAGUAGAUUACCAGAGUCAUCCCAUGAGUAAGCUUGAUUAGUGCUUGAUCAUGACGAAGUACAACCGGAGGAAGAACCGACAGGCCGGCCUCUCCUCUAAUCCUCCUUCGCUCUCCAUCUCGCUACUAUCUAGAUCUACUCUAGUUUAGAGAAGAGAGGAGAGCUCUCAUCUCUAAACCCUAGCUUUUGCUCUGUCUAUGAAUAAUGAAUAAUGAUCAAGGGGUGCCUCCUCCAGGGGCCAGGGGGUCUGGUUUUAUAGUACCCUCAAGUGAACCGGCCGUUAGAUCAAACCGACAUAGAUUGAAUGGUUAUCCUUGAUCCUUUAGGUCGGUAGAGAUCUCCCACGAAGUAGAGUCCUGAUUGGACUCUCAGAGGGGGCGGGCGCCUUGCCUCUGGCCCCGUUUCGCCUCUGCUUCGGUCUCGUGGCUUCUGGAGUCUUCUAGAUGUAAGAUAAUUGCGCGGCACGUUAAUAUCUCUAUGUAAUCCCGACGUGUGGGCCUUUCUUCCGUAUUUCCUGAUAACCCCCUGCAGAAAUAGACAAACACCAAAACUCGUGGAAUUCUGUCAGAUAAAACCCUAAGUCUAGAUGUUGAUUUCAUUUGGAUCCUUUUCUUUGUUUAUUUGAUAAUUAAAUUUGAUACUUAAAGGACCGUCAAAUUCGGACCCGCCCAACUCUUCUGGGCGCCCGCCCAGCUACAGUGUCCAAUUCGGACCCGUUUCGCGGAUUAUGCUCCACCGUCCUAAAGGAUCAAGGAAAACCGUGCGAUCAAUGUCGGUUUGAUCCGACGGCCCAGAUUCACUUGAAGGGACUAUAAAACCAGACCCCCUGGCCCCUGGAGAGCAUACCUCUUCUACAGAAUCAAAGUUAGGGUUUCAAUUCUUCAUCCAAGUAGAGAGGAUCCCUCUAGUUCAUCUAGUUCUACCUCUAGUAAAUCUAGUUCUAGUUCUAGUUCAUCUAGUUCUAGUUCUAGUUCAUCUAGUUCUAGUUCUAGUUAGUUCUAGUUGUAAUCUAGAAAAUAGGGAGAGAGAAGAGGAGAGCGGAGGAGGAGCCGGAUCUGUCGGAUCUUCCUCAACAUUAUACUUUUGCAGCAUCUGGUUCGUUCUUCAUUGUUCUCCAGGUUCUUCAAUUCAUAAUUCCUGAGUUCUUUAAUUACUUUUAUUUACAUUCAAGUUAUUUAUUGGAUUCCCGCUUGCAUCAAGUUCUCUAGUCUUUAUAACGCUAGAGUAGUAAUUAAUAGAUUGGACGUGGUGUUUAGUCUUGCGAUUACCUGGAAUUGCACCCAAUCCUGCGGAUUGUUGUGGUAGCCUUAGGGUAGUGACAGCCCUAACGGUCGACGUAUUCCACCACGUUCGGAUCGGUGUUUGUAGGACCGUAGUCAGACCUUCCUAGCCCCCUUCUCAUCUCUUUCUGUGGUUAGUGCUCUGAUGUCCCAAUAUAGAUAAUCUUGAAGUAAUUCUUGAUUCUUAGAUCAACUAGAGAACUCUCAGGAAACUUCCUCUCUUCCCACCAAAAAUAUUCAUAUAGUUAUCCUUGGGCGAUCUUGGAUCUUAAUUAGUACACUCACGUUCCCUGUGGAAAAUCGAUACUCUGGAAUACUCCCGGGUGAAGGCUACAUCGGUAUCCGUGCGCUUGCGGAUUUUUCUGUUUGCGUUUAAAAUACCUAACAAGCUUUCUGGCGCCGUAGCCGGGGAACGAUAGCUGUGCUAGUUUUGAACCAAGUUGUCCGUGUAUCCUUUUUCUUUUCCUUUCUUACCACACUCACCUUUCAUUUUUACCAUACCACAUGGAUUUCACUCUAAGCAUUAGUGAGCAUGGAAUUUAUUUCAUAGCCACUUCAUUUACUCCAUGCUCAUAUGCAACAUCUUCACAAUCCAUUGGUCUCUCCAACAUCACCACAUUCGAGAUCUCCAACCCCCUCUUCCUUUCUAUUUAUAAAAACUUUAAAAGGGUGGUUGUCGAUGCAUAUGUCUAUAUUAAAUAUUGCAGAUCUCGUUGAGUUGAUCUUGAUAUAGGUCAGCGUUGGAGGGUAAACCACUUCACUGACAUAAAUCAAUGGUUUCCCAAGGACAAGCUUAGUGUCCUAAAACAAGCACUGAUCAGAUCAUAACAUGAGCUUUUAAUUAUUUGCAACAUUACCUUGUGUAUUGAGCAUAUAAGGAUAAUUGUAAAAAUAUUCCUUCGGGUAUUCUUGUCACUAACCUUUCCAGGAUUGGAGCAAGAAGAUCGGAUGAAUGACAAGCACAAGGUAUGUUCAACCAAUCAUCAUACAACAUUGAAUUAAAUUCAUCCAAACUUGAAUUUUGCAAAAUUCAAGCUUGGGGGAGUACUUUACAUAAAAACAUCCUUUGCCAUGUUGCUAUGUUGGUUAUCCCUACCUUUGAGACAUGCUCAAUUUGUUAAAUACUAAUCACACUACUUCAUCUCCGCUUGAGUAGAUCUCUAUAAAUGCUCUCAUGCUACCUUUAUUUGCUUUAGUAUAUGUCUAGGUUGGAGUAGUUUCAUUUAUCUCUUAAUUAAGCUUGGUGCUUAGUUCAGGAAUGAUGAUCUUACUUCCAAGGGGUUUUAAAUUAAGCAUGGUGCUUAGGUUAAAAUAGCCCUCCUGAAUCAAAUUAGACAUGGUGUCUAGGUUGAUUUUUGAGCUGAUAGUAUGCUAUAGUAGAUAUUGGAUAUUUUGUUGGACUAACCCCUGCAGGAAAACUUUCACUAUCAACCUGGGAAGUCCUGAGAUACACUCACAUUGGAGACAAAGAGAGAGACACAUGAAGUUUAACAAUUUACAUGAGGAAGGCAUAGCUCACAAGAGAUGAUCCAUGGAGGGUGCCACAAACACGAUGCACAACUGCUAAGAAAGGAAAGCUUCCACAAGGAGAUACUGUACCAUCACUCUUCAAGUAAGGUAACAUCUUAAGGUACUUGACUAUCACUCUAUAAGCUUCUCCUUGGUUCUGGCGUUCACAUGAAUAAAAGAGACAAACAUGUAUGAUUUACAACUCUAGAUUAACCAACCCAUUCGAUUCAAUAUGUUUAGUCCUUCCACCUUUGUGAUCCUACACUCCUAAUCAUAUGAACUAAAGUGUUGCACACUCAAUGUUUGGAAGAUAUAUAUAAAAAACAUAAGUAUCGAUAGAUUAUCUUUCCAUUAGGUUGAGUGAUCUGAUCUGACAAAUGUUUUAAAUGCUACACUCAUGAUCUUAUUAUCCAUCAACUUUGUCUUGCUCACUAUGCUUAAGGUUAGAGAAGAACAAAUACACUUUUGGUUUUGUUGGUGUUUUCCACCAACAGGGCCCAUGCACUUGAUCUCUGCCCUGUCUCUACGAGCAGGUACACUUCGAGCAAAAUAUGAAGGAGUUUUACAACUCCCAGACUCCACCAAGUGAAGAACCUAGAUCUACGAGCACAUACACAAUGGAGAUACUGGACACUCAGUCAAAAGAGGCGAUCCAGGACGCCCCGUCAUCCCGAUCUCCAUCGGCAUGGUGGACUUCCUAGAAGCACUCUGCGACUUUGGCUCCAACGUCAACAUUAUGCCCAAGGUACUCUAUGAAAAAAAUUCUUUACACAUCCUUUACUAGAAACAACCAUGUGCUUGUAGCCUGCAGAUCAGACACUAAGUUUCCCAAAGAGAAUAUUGAAGAACCUCUGCGUCCGAGUUGGUACCUUGUACGCCCCAGCAAACUUCGUGGUGAUAGAGACUAGUACUGAUGAGAGGGCACCCAUCUUAGGGAGGCCAUUCCUGAACACCUCGGGAGCUGUCAUCUACGUUAGUGCUGCCAAGAUCAGUUUCUACAUCAAGGGGAGGAAGGAGACGUUUUCCUUCAAGAACAAGACUACACAAAUCUCAGAGCAAUCCCGACAUGAACCAACAGGAGGAACAGAAACAAGCAAAUGUAGACCGAGUCAGCUAAGAUGGUCACUGCAGUUCAAGGAUGUCAAGAUCGUUGACUUAAGUCACCGUUCCUGACCAAAAAGGACGACCCAGUCACCUGUCAGCUCCUAUUCAGAACCAUGCCCCUAAAACCGACAUACAUUCAGCUCCAGAUGGCAGAUCAGACAUUCUGAAAGGUUGAAGAUUUUUAGGUUAUUGACAUGGGAGAAGACGAGUACGAUCCACCCAUCAUCCUUGAGAGGCCGCUCCUCAGCACCGAUAAAGCAAUCAUCAACAUUGGAACCGGAGAAGUCCACAUGCACUUCCCCUCUGAGAAGGUACGCCGCUAUUUUACUGACCCUAACUAUAUCGUUGAAGACUCUAAGCAGGUCAGGACAAGAAGAAGACGACGCAACCACAACCAGAGGAGGCAAAUCAUCAAGGACGGAUGGGUAGACAAUGAAGGAGAAGUAGUAAGGUCUGAAGACAUACAGCUUGAUCAGAACUGUCCUGAGGAGACCGUAGCACCGAGUCAAGUGUGUAGAGAGAAGAUAGUUAUACAUGAAGAGCAGGCGCCGCCGGAACCACCGACUACGCCAUCCAGCGAAUCCCAGGACGACUGAGAAAACGGAGAGUCCCGUUCGGAGGACUUAAAAACACCGAACGCCUUGCCAAGAGGUAAACUUGGUAGUUAUCUUUUUCCUUUCAAUUAUUUAAAAUAGUUUGCUUAGUUAAUCAGGUUCAUAUCAUCUUGAAAAGAAAAUAAAAAUGUUAAAAAUAGUAAGCCCCAUAUGAGUAUGCUCAUGGCAUAAAACCCAUAAGUACAUUCAUUGUGGUGGCGUAAAAAUAAAAUAAAUAUAUAUUCCUGUCCUAUAAAAAGAUUUAUGAUCCUACUAAAAAGAGUAACAUCUAUUGAGGAGGCUCAACAUGAUAAAGGCUAGAUAUUUAUGCUAACACUUAACUAGUUCCACAAAGCUUUGUUGUCUAUUUGAGCUUCACUGAAUUCAAGGAUCAAAGAAGACUAGCAGACGGAGGACAUCCUAAUCGCUGUCAGGGUGCUGCUGACAUUCAAAUACACCUCCACCAACUGCUAGCUACAUCAGAAGAAAUUACGUCAAAACCCAGCUUGGGGGAGAGCAACCCCAUUUAUCCAGCUAAGUGCUCUACUCAUGUUUAUACUUUACUCUAAUAAUAAAAUUAUGCAUAAUCAUAGAAACCCAAAUAAAGAUUUUGUGCAUAUAUAUAUCUUUGCUUAGUUUGCUAAAUAAAUAAAUAAAUAAAGUCUGCUAUAAACCAUCAUGAUAAGCUCUCACAUGGAAAUGAUGAAUAGUUGCUCUGCCAUGACUAGUUCUCAAAAUUGAAAUCUCUCUUUUAAGUUUAGGCCUGGCUGUUAUUAAUUUGCUCUAAACCUGAACUUGUGGGAAGAGUACUUGAUCUGAAGUCUAAGUCGUUAACGGAUAUGAUAUGGGAAGGUUGAGCUACUGUCUAUCUGUUCCUAGAGAUGCUAGAAUUCUGGAGAAUUUUAUCUUUGAAAAUCAUUAAAAUAACACAUGAUGAGUUCCUGUAUGAUGAGAGUUUAAAUUCCUACCACAGCCAUAUAUACAUGCUUGCUAGACUUUGAGCCACACAUUUACUUUUUACUGCUUAUGAGCAUUGAGUGUGGUCAAGCUGUGUAGACCCUUAGGAGCUUGUCAUGUGGUUAAAUCAAGAUUCACUUGCACGUUCAGUCAUACAUGCUACUUCUACUUCGGAAGUAUGCAUCCACAUAUAUCCAUCCAUUUCCAUCUCCACAACGACCCAAAAAUAUUCUACUCCUAAUCCGGGAGAGAAUAGCCAAAAACAUUCUCUUAUUUCUGUUUUUCCCUGUGAAAUAAAUGCUCAAGUUAUCUUGGUUACUACCACUUGCUAUAUUAUUUCAGGAGAUGAGUGCUCUAAAAAAAGAAAAAAAAAGAAAAAAAAAUACGAGGAAAUAAAAAGGGGCAAGUGCCCGGAACCUCGAAAGAAAAAAAAAAGUGAGACGAGAGGUAAAAAUGGACAAGUGGCCGACAGUAGAAUUAGGGGUAUAAGAUACCCACCUGAGAGAAAAGAAAAAAAAAGAGAAAAUAUAGAGCAUCUCAUUCUCCUCAAAAAAGUUUCAAAAGAGCAAGAAAGGUAUGUAUCCCCUCAAAAGAGCAUAAGCAGAAUUAGACUUUCACCAUUGUUAUCACCAUCAUCACCAUACACCAUUCAUUCGCCACACAUGCACAUCUUGAUUUGACUUAUUGACUUGUUCUUCUGGAUCCAUGGUUUGACUAUGCAAUAAAUGUCUUGUAAGUAUGUAUUAGUUGUCUCCCACCUAUGAGCUCCAGAUAUCAAAAGCCUUAUUAGAGUAGGGUGAGAGAGAAGGCAAUGUCACUUUGCCUCAUACCAAAAAUACCACAUACUUUGAGAGAAGGCAUAUACCAUUACUGCCUUGGUAAGGAUCCAGAAAUACCACAAAAGAGAGACUAGAGAGAGUCAUACAAGGAAUCUCUCAGUUUUAUUUGAAAAUCUGCAAAAACUCCAGAGCUAUAGUUAAUCGAAGAACAAGAGACAUGGCGCUUGACUAGACCGUUCUAUCUUUUAACUACUCAAGACAGAAGUGACGGUUACAAGUCCCAUGGUUAAAGGUAAAUGAGUAAGUUUUAAGUCUUAACAGUUUACUCUAACCAGAGAUGAGAUCUUGUUUAAACGCAUGUGUAUCUUUAAGUUAUGAAACCACUGUAGAAACUCUUGAGUUCAUCUUUGCUCAGGGACGAGCAAAGGUUAAGCUUGGGGGAGCUUGUUGACGGUCCUUAAUGCUCACAUUUAACCAUCAACUAAUCAUGGAAAAGGAUCUAAAUGCAACCAACACCUAGACUUAGGGUUUUAUCUGACAAAAUUCCACGAGUUUUGGUGUUUGUCUAUUUCUGCAGGGGGUUAUCAGGAAAUAUGAAAGAAAGGCCCACACGUCGGGUUUACAUAGAGAUAUUAACGUCCCGCGUAAUUUUCUACCAUCUAGAAGACUCCAGAAGCCACGGGAACGAACGGGAGGCCGAUCGGGCUCGGAGGCAGGGCGCCCGCCCAACUCUUCUGGGCGCCCGCACAGCUAAAGUGUCCAAUUCGAACCCGUUUCGCGGAUUAUGCUCCACCGACCUAAAGGAUCAAGGAAAACCGUGCGAUCAAUGUCGGUUUGAUCCGACGGCCCAGAUUCACUUGAAGGGACUAUAAAACCACCUGGCCCCUGGAGAGCAUACCUCUUCUACAGAAUCAAAGUUAGGGUUUCAAUUCUUCAUCCAAGUAGAGAGGAUCCCUCUAGUUCAUCUAGUUCUACCUCUAGUUCAUCUAGUUCUAGUUCUAGUUCUAGUUCAUCUAGUUCUAGUUCUAGUUAGUUCUAGUUGUAAUCUAGAAAAUAGGGAGAGAGAAGAGGAGAGCGGAGGAGGAGCCGGAUCUGUCGGAUCUUCCUCAACAUUAUACUUUUGCAGCAUCUGGUUCGUUCUUCAUCGUUCUCCAGGUUCUUCAAUUCAUAAUUCCUGAGUUCUUUAAUUACUUUUAUUUACAUUCAAGUUAUUUAUUGGAUUCCCGCUUGCAUCAAGUGCUCGAGUCUUUGUAACGCUAGAGUAGUAAUUACUAGAUUAGACGUGGUGUUUAGUCUUGCGAUUACGUGGAAUUGCACCCAAUCCUGCGGAUUGUUGUGGUAGCCUUAGGGUAGUGACAGCCCUAACGGUCGACGUAUUCCACCACGUUCGGAUCGGUGUUUGUAGGACCGUAGUCAAACCUUCCUAGCCCCCUUCUCAUCUCUUUCUGUGGUUAGUGCUCUGAUGUCCCGAUAUAGAUAAUCUUGAAGUAAUUCUUGAUUCUUAGAUCAACUAGAGAACUCUCAGGAAACUUCCUCUCUUCCCACCAAAAAUAUCCAUAUAGUUAUCCUUGGGCGAUCUUGGAUCUUAAUUAGUACACACACGUUCCCUGUGGAAAAUCGAUACUCUGGAAUACUCCCGGGUGAAGGCAACAUCGCUAUCCGUGCGCUUGCGGAUUUUUCUGUUUGCGUUUAAAAUACCCAACAGCGCCCAGGUCAACUGGGCGGGCGCCCAGUGCCUGGCCCCGUUCGGCCUCCGCUUCCUUUCCAUGGCUUCUGGAGUCUUCUAGAUGUAAGAUAAUUGUGCGGCACGUUGAUAUCUCUAUGUAGUCCUGACGUGUGGGCCUUUCUUCCGUAUUUCCUGAUAACCCCCUGCAGAAAUAGACAAACACCAAAACUCGUGGAAUUCUGUCAGAUAAAACCCUAAGUCUAGAUAUUGUUUUCUUUUGGAUCAUUUUCUUUGUUUCUUUGAUAAUUAAAUUUGAUACUUAUGGACUGUCAACAAACUCCCUCAAGCUUACCUCUUGCUCGUCCCUGAGCAAGGAUAAUCUCAGCGAUGGAUUGGAAGUUGUUGUAAUGCCUUUAAAAAUUGACGGUACACAUGCUUUUAAUUGAGGUCUCAUCUCUGAGUUAGAGUAAACUGUCAAGACUUAAAACUUAUUCAUUUUACCUUUCAACAUGGGACUUGUAACCGUCACUUCUGUCUUGAGUAGUUAAAAUAUAGAACAGUCUAGUCAAGUGCCAUGUCUCUUAUUCUUGAUCAGCUAUAACUCUAGAGAUUUUUGCAGAUUUUCAAAAAAAAACUCAGAGUUUCCUUGUAUGACUCUCUCAAAUCUCUCUUUUGUGGUAUUUCUGGAUCCUUACCAAGGCAGUUAUGGUAUAUGCCUUCUCUCAAUAUAUAUGGUAUUUGUGGUAUAAAGCAUAGUGACAUUGCCUUCUCUCUCAUCCUACUCUAAUAAGGCUUUAAUAUCUAGAGCUUAUAGGUGGGAGAUAAAGUAUACAUACUUACAAGACAUUUAUUGUAUAGUCAAACCAUGGAUCCAAAGAAACAAAUCAAUAAGUCAAAUCAAGAUGUGCAUGUGUGGCGAAUGAAUGUCGUAUGGUGAUGAUGGUGAUAACAAUGCUGAAAGUCUAAUUCUACUUUUGCUCUUUUGAGGGGAUACAUACCAUUCUUGCUUUUUUGAAAAUUUGUGAAGAGAAUGAGAUACUCUAUAUUUUUAUUUUUUCUUUUCUCUUAGGUGGGUAUCUUGUACCCCUAAUUCUACUGUCAGACACUUGUCCAUUUUUACCUCUCGUCUCACUUUUUCUUUUCUUUCGAGUUUGUAACACCCAAAAUUAGCUUUCCAAUUAAUAGGGUUUAAUUUGAGUUAUUUAAGUAUUUUGGGAGCAUUUAAUUUAGUAAAUGGAUAAUUUUGUUGAAACUAAAAUUUAUUAUAAGGAUAGAAACUUGUAUAUGCAUUCAUGCUGGGGCACAUUUUGUUUUGUGUUGACUCCUUUUGGUUUGAUUUUAGUUGUACUCGAAUUUCUAUUUGGAAAUGACUUUAAAAAAAAAAAAAAAAAAAGAAAAAGAAAACAAUGCUUCACCCUCUCUCGGUUUCGGCCUGGCGACCCUCAGCCUGGCGCGGCCCAUCUCCCACUCCCUCCCGCACUCGGCCCACUCUCUCCCCCCGGCCCAACGCGCGCGCCUCCUUCUCCCCUUCGGCUGACGACCGGGCCCCGCCCCGCUUCUCUCACUGGCAGCGCGGGCCCGCAUGGCAGCGGGCGCCUUCUCCUCCUUCCUUCUUCACGAGACGGAGCCGAACCAGACUCGACCGGCGCCAACCAAAAUCCCGAUUCUCCCGGGAUUUGGCAUGUUGAGAUCAAACCGAGCCCUAUAAAGCUCCUAGUGAUGCCCCGCGUCUCGGUUUUCCAUCUACGCCGCAAGAACUCUGACCUAGGACCCGCUGUCGCGCUAAAACGAAUCUCACCGAGUUUGGGAGCACCCCCUGUCGCCGCGAGCCUUCCCUGUUCUCCCCUGGUGCGAGCAAGGCGUCUAGGUGAGUUCCUGGUGAGUUUCUCCACCGCCUGGUGGUUUCGUUUUCUUUUUCGUGCUCUGAAUCGAAGAAACGGCGAGCUCCAGGGACCAUGCCCAUGGCGCCGCCGUGUCGGGUGCCCAUCCGGCCGGCCGGCCGCCGCUGGCCCCCUGGUGGGAUUUCCACCGUUGGAUCCAAGAUCCACGGCCACAAACAGAAGAUACCCCUUCGGGGUGAAAUUUGUUAAAGAGCCCCUGGAAAAGUUGAGAUUAAACCCGCAGUCCAAAGCGCCUCCUCAGUUUUACGCCUUUCGUUUUCAAAAACGUAUUCUCUGCGGGCUGAGUAAAUUACGCUUUCCAGAAAUUACAGAAAUGCCACUGAUUUUAUAAUGCUCAUAAAAUAUUCAUUUUAACUCCGUUUUUGCCCAUUCAAAUUGCGUUAGGUUCGUAAUCACAUGCUCUACAUGUUAGAAACAUUAGUUUACUGUUUUUGAAACUUUUAAUUCUGCAGUAGCAUUUAAUUAAUUAUUUCUCUAUAGGAAAUCUUAGAAAAUUCAUAUCUUCCGCGUUUUAAUUCCGAUUUUCGUGAACUUUACGUUUAUGUGAUCGUAGCGCUGCGUAGAAUAUUUUGGUGAACCUUUAUAUUUAUUUUACCACUGUUUGGUGUAUUGUUCUAAUUAUAUCUUGUUUGCUUCGUGUAUGAUUUUCUACAUUGGAUUGCGUGUUGUUGAUUGAUGAUUGGGAUUAGACGGUGAGCCGUACGUUGGUGCUCAAGAUCAAGUAUUUGAAGACCAGCAGGCUCAGGAGAGCUUUGAUCAAGGCAAGUAUAACCUGGGAUUAUCCUUGUUACCUAUUCACUUAUAACUACACAUAUAUGUCAUAUGCAUGCUAUCACCUUGUCGACCUUAGCAAAAUCAUAGAUGAUUGUUACCUGGAUUCCUUGCUACCUACUUGAUAUGCAUUUGGAGUAGAUGUGCUAGUGCUUGAUAUAAUCCAUGAUCUUGUAAGAUGAUUAAUAGCUAUGCAAUGAACAUAAAAGAAUGACAAAUAACGACAUGAGAUCUUGUCUGUACGUGAUCACCCGGGAUAACAGUGCAACCAUGAGGGCUAUUAUGGCUCUGGCUUUAGCUCAGUAUGAAGACCUUUUCUAGCUUGUUAGCGGUUACCCGAAAGGGCGGAGGGGCUGAACCGACACGGGUAUAGUGCGAGCCCCUGUCCCUAUGUGUAUAGGCUGCGCGUCAUUGUGCCAUUCGGAAGGGGGGUAUCUAUAUCUGCUCGCAAAGGAAACCUUGCGGCCCUAACAUGUUAGACGAACUUUUGAAAGGCUUCAUAGUGAUCCCUGCCGACCUCCCUAGGAAGGGGGUUAAGAGAUUAGCUACCUCGGGCGAAAGGGUAAAUCAUGACUCAUGGGUAAAGAUGUACAAACUCUGCAGAGUGUAAAACUGGUAUACUAGCCGAGCUCACGGUCAGGAGCGGCCUUGGGGACAUCUACAUUAAGAUGAUGAACUUGUUAUGUUAUUAUGUUCAUUUGAUUAUUGUUUAUGCUAUGAGAUUAAUUAUGCUUACACUUGAUCAUGGGAUUAAUGAAUGAUUUAUGCUUCCUUGACAAUUGCUAUUUAAUUAUGAACAUGCUAUCCACUAUUAAAAGCUAAAUGCAGUUAAACCAGUGUCAGCUGUUUGAGCCUCAUGAACCCCUGGUUAUACUUGUUGAGUACGAUAUGUGCUCACUCUUGCAAUUUCCCAACACCUCAGGAUGUGAUAAUGAAGAUGACUGGAAUGAGGAUUAUCGGUAUGAGUACUAGGUUUGGAGUCAACCAGUCAACAGUGUCCCUGUGUGGAGCUCCCGUUGAGAGCGUGGUUUACUUUAUGUUAUCAUUUUUGUAUGAGACUAUGUGAUAUUUUAUAUUCCGCUAUGUAAUAAACACUGCGAUGGUACAUUUUGAGAUUUGUCUACUUAUGUGUGCGACUGUUUCUGGGGCACAUAUGAGUCUUUUAUGCAUCCUAUUUUGCUCUUAAAAUAUGGGUGUGACAAAUUGGUAUCAGAGCUUUGUUGACUGUAGGACGCAAACCUAGUUAGCAAAUGGUCGAAAACUUAGGUCCUUAUUUUACUUACUUCAUGCUUCCCACUAUGGCCUUGUUAUUCGCUAAAAGUUUUGUGCUUCUCUAUCUUGCUCUAUUGUGAAAUUAUUACAUCCAUCUGAUCUAUGUCUAAAAACUUUUUGUAGAUGCCGCCCCGCACCCGUAGUGCUGCACGCAUGGCUGCUGAGGAGUACCGUGCCAUGUUCAACCUAGGAGGACAGCAUGUGGAUGGAGUUCCUGAGCUGGAAGAUGAGGAAUCAAGGGUGGAAGCUCAGGAGGAAGUGCCUGCAGAUGAGGAGAUGCAAGAUCCACCUCCACCACAGUCUGCUAAUGCAAGGAUGGGAUGGACUACUGAGCUGUGGAUUCCAGAGGCAGAUCCCAAGGAUUUCUUCCAUGAGAACUUGGUGCUGACAUUGAAACACCAUUACCCAGAUUUGCAAGCCACACUGGAGUAUAACUGCACUGAGCACAAACACCCGCUGAGGAGAUCACUUUGGGUUGCGGAGCUGAUAGUCAAGACACUGGAUGCCAACAAGGGGAUUCGAAAGGUGGGAUCAAAACACAUCGCUCGAAUCAGCCGGGACACGAUGAAAGAGAGUAUGGCAGAUGCAGCUUACCAGGCCUUGGUCUUCUACCGUGGUAGACGCUUUGAGGAUGUUCAGUAUAAUGCCACAUACCACUAUCUUCGCUUUGUACCAGAGAAGAUGACUUGGGCCAUAGAAGUUGCAGAUGCUUCACAACCAAAGCUUCAAGCACAAGUGGAGUUGACCUAUGAGCUGACACUCAAGGUGAUAGAGUUGGAGAAUGAACUACACCGUGAGAGGAAGCUGCUGGAGAAAGAGCAAAGGGAAGCAGAUGACCUUCGAGCGGAGUUAGGCCGUCCCAAACUUCAUAAGAGGCUGCAUGUUGAACCCAUCUUGAAGGAUGCUGCACCCGAAGAGUAGAAAAGAACCCAUAUGUAAUAGUAACGUUAGUAGUUGCGAGUUAUUUCGAGUCUUUUGCUAGUGUGGUGUGAACUUGGUGUGCUUGCUGAAUUGUUAUUAUGAAUAUGUGUGAUUUGGAUUUUUGUAAUGAGUGCUGGGAAAUUGUGGGCAUGUCCACAAGUUCCCUAAUUAAGAACCUUAAGUAAGAACAUGAAUAAAUAGUAGUUUGGGGUCAUAUCCUGUUUCUGUCUUUUGCUGUUUUCUGGAGCAGUCUGCAAUGAUUCUGGAAUAAAUCAAAUUCUGUUCGUGCAAUGUUCAUCAAAUUUUUCUGGGAAUAAGUAGACUUUCAUAUCUUUCCAAUGCCACAAGAAUGAUCAUAUUAUCUAUUAUGUGCGGUGAGUUAUGACUGUUUAAAGUUGAGUUUUCUGCGCAGUCUGGAAUUCUGGAACAGUUUCGGUUGUACACAGUUUUUGAUUAAACUAACGUUGGAAUCUGGUAAUAUGAUAUAAAUGAAAGUUGUAGACAAUUUCUUUAUCUUUCCAACGGUGUACAGCAUGUGUCCUUUUGAAUUCUGGAACUCGAGAUACUACUGAUUUUCUGAUCUGCUGAUGUUGGAUGUUACCCAGAAAAUUUCAGAUUCGGUUAACUCUUGUAAUUGUCAUGUUGGGCAUUACUAAGAUGUGUUUAUAUACCUUGGAAUGCAGAUGGCAGCAAGAGGAAGAGGCAGAGGCAGAGGCCGUGGCAAUGGCAAUGACAAUGGCAAUGGUGGCAAUGCUCCAAUCACCGUGGAGGAACUCAUGCAAACCCAAAAUCAGAUGAUGCACGUUUUCAUGCAGCACCUGCAGCAACAACCUCCACCGACACCACCACCUAUUCAUGUGAGGGACAAGCGUGGAGAGUUUAUGAAGGGAAGACCUCCGGUAUUUACACACUCAGCUGAUCCCAUGGAGGCAGAUGAUUGGUUACGUGCUGUGGAGAGGCAACUGAACAUAGCACAGUGCAAUGACUUGGAGAAGGUGUUGUAUGCUUCUGGACAGCUUCAAGGUGCAGCUCAGACAUGGUGGGAGUCGUAUCAAGCUGCUCGUCCCAACACUGCUCCUCCUGUCACAUGGCUGGAAUUCUGUAGAGACUUCAGAGCUCGACAUAUAAAUGAAGGAGUGAUGGAGCUCAAACAAGAAGAAUUCAGAUCACUCAGGAUGGGCUCCAUGACUGUGGCAGAAUAUCAUGACACAUUUGAACAGUUGGCUCGCUAUGCUCCGAACGAUGUCAGGGAAGAUGCUGAUAAGCAGCGUUUAUUCAUGAAGGGCUUGUACUAUGAACUCAGGUUGCAGUUGGCAGGAAACACUUAUCCUACCUUCCAAGCUCUUGUGAACCGUGCCAUUGUGCUUGAUAAUAUGCGGAAGAGUCAGGAUAAGAAGAGAAGGAUGCUGGCACAAGGAUCUGGGAGCAACAACCGUCAGCGUUUCAGCUCUCAGCAAGGCCAUCAGCAGAGGUUCCAGGGACCAGUUAGUCAGUGGAACCGUAACCAGCAACCCCAGCGUUUCCAGAAUCAGUCACCGAGUGGGAACCAACGUCCUCCAUUCCAACAACGUAACCAUAAUCAGCAGCAGCAGGGUCAGCAGACACCUCGCUCAGGGAACUCAAAUGCCAACUCUACAAAAAGGAGUGCUUCUAACAAUCCUACCAGGUGUUUCCGUUGUGGGAAGGAAGGGCAUAUGUCCUAUGAUUGCCCAGAGAAGUUUAAUCCGCAGUACAACGAUCGUAGAUCCACUCCUAAUUCAGCAAAGGUGAACAACGUGGCAGCAGAAACUGUUCAGGAAGGACCAGAAAUCAUGAUGGGUACGUUCAGCAUCAACUCUAUCCCUGCUACAGUUUUAUUUGAUUCUGGAGCUUCACAUACUUUCAUAUCGCAAGCAUUUGUUAGAGUUCAUAGCCUUCCUCUUGUUGCAAUGAACACCCCUAUGUUAGUUAAUUCACCGGGUGGGACUAUACCAGUUUCUUUACGUUGCCCCUCAGCAAGUCUUUCUUUAAGGGGGGUAGAUUUUCCUAUCAGUCCCAUGGUUAUGAGAACUUCAGGCAUAGAUGUGAUCUUGGGUUUGGAUUGGAUGAAGCAACAUGCAACAAAUAUUAACUGCAAAGAGAGAGUAGUGGUUCUGACAACACCAAAGGGAGAAAGAAUCAGUGUUGAUGUAACAAUGCAAGCACCACUCACAGCUAAAGUGAACCAACUGACUGAUGAUGUUGAUCCUCAGAAUUUGGUAGUGGAUGAGUUUCCGGAUGUCUUUCCAGAUGAAUUGCCAGGUAUGCCACCUGACCGAGACAUUGAAUUUAUUAUUGAAUUACUACCUGGUACUGCACCCAUAGCUAAAAGACCAUAUAGGAUGGGGGUUAAGGAACUAGAAGAACUUAAGAAACAAAUUAAGGAAUUGCAAGAUAAAGGGUUCAUUCGUCCUAGCUCAUCACCAUGGGGUGCACCAGUUAUCUUUGUUGAUAAGAAGGAUGGUAGUCAGAGGAUGUGUGUUGAUUAUCGGUCACUUAAUGAGGUCACUAUCAAGAAUAAAUAUCCAUUGCCUAGGAUUGAUGACUUAUUUGAUCAGCUAAGAGGUGCUUGUGUGUUCUCUAAGAUUGAUUUGCGUUCUGGUUAUCAUCAACUGAAGAUUCGGAAUUCAGAUAUACCAAAGACAGCUUUCACAACAAGGUAUGGGUUAUAUGAGUAUACAGUUAUGUCUUUUGGUUUGACCAAUGCACCAGCUUACUUUAUGUACAUGAUGAAUAAAGUAUUCAUGGAGUAUCUUGAUAAGUUUGUGGUGGUCUUUAUUGAUGAUAUUCUGGUGUUCUCUAAAACCAAGGAAGAACAUGCUGAACAUCUGAGAUUGGUCUUACAAAAACUUAGAGAACAUAAGUUGUAUGCUAAGCGUAGUAAAUGUGAGUUUUGGUUGGAGGAAGUAUCUUUUCUUGGUCAUGUUGUCUCUAAUGGUGGUAUUGCAGUGGAUCCUAGUAAGGUGAAAGAUGUGUUGAAUUGGAAACCACCUACAGAUGUAAGUGAAAUUCGCAGUUUUCUUGGUUUAGCUGGUUACUAUCGUAGGUUCAUUGAAGGGUUCUCAAAACUUGCAAAGCCUAUGACUGCUCUAUUAGAGAAGAAUGCUAAGUUUGUGUGGUCUGAUAAGUGUCAAGCUAGUUUUGAGGAGUUCAAGAAGAGAUUGACCACUGCACCUGUGUUGGUAUUGCCGGAUCUGAGUAAGAGUUUCUCUAUCUAUUGUGAUGCUUCUCGUCUGGGUUUGGGUUGUGUUCUUAUGCAAGAAGGUAGAGUUGUUGCUUAUGCGUCUAGACAAUUGAGGAAACAUGAAUUGAAUUAUCCUACUCAUGAUUUGGAGUUAGCAGCUGUGGUUCAUGCGUUGAAGAUUUGGAGACACUAUUUGAUUGGGCAUAAGAGUGACAUAUACACUGAUCAUAAGAGUUUGAAGUAUAUCUUCACCCAGACAGAUCUGAAUUUGAGGCAACGAAGAUGGUUGGAACUGAUAAAGGAUUAUGAUUUGGAAGUACAUUAUCAUCCUGGGAAGGCGAACGUCGUAGCUGAUGCACUUAGCAGAAAGAAAUAUGCUAAUGAGCUUCAGGCGACCCCUGAAUCUGAGGAGUUGUGUGCUGAAUUUGCAUAUUUAAACUUGGGAAUGGUAGUAAAUGCUACGGAGAUUGAGAUUACUCCUACCCUAGAGGAAGAGAUAUUGAAAGGACAAUUGGAAGAUGAGAAACUAAAGGAGAUAGCACAGAAUGUGGCAUUAGGCAAAGCACCAGGAUUCAGAAUAGAUGACAAUGGUGUAUUGUGGUUUGGAAAAAGGAUAUGUGUUCCGGAAGUGAAGGCUAUUCGUGAUACGAUUCUGAGAGAGGCUCAUGAGUCAGCAUAUUCCAUUCACCCUGGGAGCACUAAGAUGUAUCUAGAUCUAAGACAGAAGUACUGGUGGUAUGGUUUAAAGAGAGAUGUAGCUGAGUAUGUUGCUGUGUGUGAUACUUGUCAGCGAGUGAAAGCUGAACAUCAGAGGCCAGCUGGACUGUUGCAACCAAUGAAGAUUCCGGAAUGGAAGUGGGAAGAAGUGGGUAUGGAUUUCAUAGUGGGUUUACCACGAACACAGAGAGGGUAUGACUCAAUAUGGGUGAUAGUAGAUCGUUUGACUAAAGUUGCUCACUUCAUACCUGUUAAAACUAAGUACACUGGAGAACGCCUAGCUGAGCUGUAUAUGGAGAGAAUUGUUUGUUUGCAUGGGGUACCUAAGAAGAUUGUGUCAGAUAGGGGUACUCAAUUCACAUCUCACUUUUGGAAAGCGGUGCAUGAUUCAUUGGGAACUAAGUUGAAUUUCAGCACAGCAUAUCAUCCACAGACAGAUGGACAGACUGAGAGGAUCAACCAGAUAUUGGAGGAUAUGUUGAGAGCUUGUGCUUUGCAGUAUGGGGCUAGUUGGGACAAGAGUUUGCCAUAUGCAGAAUUCUCCUACAACAACAGCUAUCAGCAAAGUCUUAAGAUGGCACCGUUCGAGGCCCUAUAUGGUCGGAAGUGCAGGACACCUUUGUUUUGGAAUCAGACGGGGGAGACUCAGGUGUUUGGGACAGAUGUGCUUAGACAUGCAGAACAACAAGUGCGGACUAUUCGGGAUAACUUGAGAGUUGCUCAAUCUCGUCAGAAAAGCUAUGCAGAUACGCGUAGGAGAGAGCUGGCUUUUGAAGUGGGUGAUUAUGUCUAUUUGAAAGUGUCACCUAUGCGGAGUGUGAAGAGGUUUAAUAUGAAGGGAAAGCUGGCUCCAAGGUAUGUUGGUCCGUUUAAAGUUUUAGAAAGGCGUGGAGAAGUAGCCUAUCGGUUAGAAUUGCCGGAAAGUUUAUCUGGUGUGCACGAUGUGUUCCAUGUGUCACAACUCAAGAAGUGUUUGCGUGUACCUGAGGAGCAAUUACCAUUGGAAGAACUUUCUGUUAAAGGUGAUCUCACUUAUGAGGAGCAUCCGGUCAAAAUAUUGGAGACAGCUGAGAGAGUCACCAGAAGUCGGGUCAUCAGAAUGUGCAAAGUACAGUGGAAUCGGCAUUCGGAAGCAGAGGCAACUUGGGAAAGGGAGGAUGACCUGAGGAAAUCAUACUCAUACUUGUUUGAGUAAGCACCUGUUUCAUCUCGAGGACGAGAUUCUUUUAAGGGGGGUAGAGUUUGUAACACCCAAAAUUAGCUUUCCAAUUAAUAGGGUUUAAUUUGAGUUAUUUAAGUAUUUUGGGAGCAUUUAAUUUAGUAAAUGGAUAAUUUUGUUGAAACUAAAAUUUAUUAUAAGGAUAGAAACUUGUAUAUGCAUUCAUGCUGGGGCACAUUUUGUUUUGUGUUGACUCCUUUUGGUUUGAUUUUAGUUGUACUCGAAUUUCUAUUUGGAAAUGACUUUAAAAAAAAAAAAAAAAAAAGAAAAAGAAAACAAUGCUUCACCCUCUCUCGGUUUCGGCCUGGCGACCCUCAGCCUGGCGCGGCCCAUCUCCCACUCCCUCCCGCACUCGGCCCACUCUCUCCCCCCGGCCCAACGCGCGCGCCUCCUUCUCCCCUUCGGCUGACGACCGGGCCCCGCCCCGCUUCUCUCACUGGCAGCGCGGGCCCGCAUGGCAGCGGGCGCCUUCUCCUCCUUCCUUCUUCACGAGACGGAGCCGAACCAGACUCGACCGGCGCCAACCAAAAUCCCGAUUCUCCCGGGAUUUGGCAUGUUGAGAUCAAACCGAGCCCUAUAAAGCUCCUAGUGAUGCCCCGCGUCUCGGUUUUCCAUCUACGCCGCAAGAACUCUGACCUAGGACCCGCUGUCGCGCUAAAACGAAUCUCACCGAGUUUGGGAGCACCCCCUGUCGCCGCGAGCCUUCCCUGUUCUCCCCUGGUGCGAGCAAGGCGUCUAGGUGAGUUCCUGGUGAGUUUCUCCACCGCCUGGUGGUUUCGUUUUCUUUUUCGUGCUCUGAAUCGAAGAAACGGCGAGCUCCAGGGACCAUGCCCAUGGCGCCGCCGUGUCGGGUGCCCAUCCGGCCGGCCGGCCGCCGCUGGCCCCCUGGUGGGAUUUCCACCGUUGGAUCCAAGAUCCACGGCCACAAACAGAAGAUACCCCUUCGGGGUGAAAUUUGUUAAAGAGCCCCUGGAAAAGUUGAGAUUAAACCCGCAGUCCAAAGCGCCUCCUCAGUUUUACGCCUUUCGUUUUCAAAAACGUAUUCUCUGCGGGCUGAGUAAAUUACGCUUUCCAGAAAUUACAGAAAUGCCACUGAUUUUAUAAUGCUCAUAAAAUAUUCAUUUUAACUCCGUUUUUGCCCAUUCAAAUUGCGUUAGGUUCGUAAUCACAUGCUCUACAUGUUAGAAACAUUAGUUUACUGUUUUUGAAACUUUUAAUUCUGCAGUAGCAUUUAAUUAAUUAUUUCUCUAUAGGAAAUCUUAGAAAAUUCAUAUCUUCCGCGUUUUAAUUCCGAUUUUCGUGAACUUUACGUUUAUGUGAUCGUAGCGCUGCGUAGAAUAUUUUGGUGAACCUUUAUAUUUAUUUUACCACUGUUUGGUGUAUUGUUCUAAUUAUAUCUUGUUUGCUUCGUGUAUGAUUUUCUACAUUGGAUUGCGUGUUGUUGAUUGAUGAUUGGGAUUAGACGGUGAGCCGUACGUUGGUGCUCAAGAUCAAGUAUUUGAAGACCAGCAGGCUCAGGAGAGCUUUGAUCAAGGCAAGUAUAACCUGGGAUUAUCCUUGUUACCUAUUCACUUAUAACUACACAUAUAUGUCAUAUGCAUGCUAUCACCUUGUCGACCUUAGCAAAAUCAUAGAUGAUUGUUACCUGGAUUCCUUGCUACCUACUUGAUAUGCAUUUGGAGUAGAUGUGCUAGUGCUUGAUAUAAUCCAUGAUCUUGUAAGAUGAUUAAUAGCUAUGCAAUGAACAUAAAAGAAUGACAAAUAACGACAUGAGAUCUUGUCUGUACGUGAUCACCCGGGAUAACAGUGCAACCAUGAGGGCUAUUAUGGCUCUGGCUUUAGCUCAGUAUGAAGACCUUUUCUAGCUUGUUAGCGGUUACCCGAAAGGGCGGAGGGGCUGAACCGACACGGGUAUAGUGCGAGCCCCUGUCCCUAUGUGUAUAGGCUGCGCGUCAUUGUGCCAUUCGGAAGGGGGGUAUCUAUAUCUGCUCGCAAAGGAAACCUUGCGGCCCUAACAUGUUAGACGAACUUUUGAAAGGCUUCAUAGUGAUCCCUGCCGACCUCCCUAGGAAGGGGGUUAAGAGAUUAGCUACCUCGGGCGAAAGGGUAAAUCAUGACUCAUGGGUAAAGAUGUACAAACUCUGCAGAGUGUAAAACUGGUAUACUAGCCGAGCUCACGGUCAGGAGCGGCCUUGGGGACAUCUACAUUAAGAUGAUGAACUUGUUAUGUUAUUAUGUUCAUUUGAUUAUUGUUUAUGCUAUGAGAUUAAUUAUGCUUACACUUGAUCAUGGGAUUAAUGAAUGAUUUAUGCUUCCUUGACAAUUGCUAUUUAAUUAUGAACAUGCUAUCCACUAUUAAAAGCUAAAUGCAGUUAAACCAGUGUCAGCUGUUUGAGCCUCAUGAACCCCUGGUUAUACUUGUUGAGUACGAUAUGUGCUCACUCUUGCAAUUUCCCAACACCUCAGGAUGUGAUAAUGAAGAUGACUGGAAUGAGGAUUAUCGGUAUGAGUACUAGGUUUGGAGUCAACCAGUCAACAGUGUCCCUGUGUGGAGCUCCCGUUGAGAGCGUGGUUUACUUUAUGUUAUCAUUUUUGUAUGAGACUAUGUGAUAUUUUAUAUUCCGCUAUGUAAUAAACACUGCGAUGGUACAUUUUGAGAUUUGUCUACUUAUGUGUGCGACUGUUUCUGGGGCACAUAUGAGUCUUUUAUGCAUCCUAUUUUGCUCUUAAAAUAUGGGUGUGACAGAGGUUCCGGGCACUUGCCCCUUUUUAUUUCCUUGUUUCUCUCUUUUUUUUAGGGCACUCAUCUCUUGAGAUAAUAUAGCAAGUGGUAGUAACAAGAUAACUUGAGCAUUUAUUUCACAAAGGAAAAACAAAAAUGUUUUUGGCCAUUCUCUCCCGGAUUAGGAGUAGAAUGUUUUUGGGUGGUUCUGGAGGUGGAAAUGAGUGGAUAUAUGUGGAUGGUACUUCCGGAGUAGAAGCAGCAUGUGUGACUGAACGUGCAAGUGAAUCUUGAUUUUAACCACAUGACAAGCUCCUAAGGGUCUACACAGCUUGACCACACUCAAUGCUCAUAAGCAGUAAAAAGUAAAUGUGUGGCUCAAAGUUUAGCAAGCAUGUAUAUAUGGCUGUGGUAGGAAUUUAAACUCUCAUCAUACAGGAACUCAUCAUGCAAUAUUUUAAAGAUUUUCAAAGAUAAAAUUCUCCAGAAUUCUAGCAUCUCUAGGAACAGAUGAACAACAGCUCAAUCUUCUCAUAUCAUAUCCGUUAACAACUUAGACUUUAGAUCAAGUUUUCUUCCCACAAGUUUAGGUUUAGAGCAAGCUUUAAAUUAUAACAAUUAUGCCUAAACUUGAGAGAACUUCAAAUUUGAAAAAUUAAGCAGAGCAACUAUUCAUCAUAUCCAUGCUAGAGUUUUAUUAUUAAGAUUCAGAUUAGCAUAGCCACUUUUUUAUUUAUUAAACGUACUAAGCAAAAGACAUAUAUAUAUAUAUAAGCACAAAAUCUUUAUUUGGUUUUCCAUAAUUAUGUAUAUUUAUAUUUUUAAUAUAAUAUAAGUAUAAAGAUAGAUAGAUAGAAAUACUUAUCGGGAUAAAUAGGGGUGCUUUCCCCCAAGCUGAAUUUUGACGUAAUUUCCCUUGAUGUAGCUAGCAGAUGGCAGAGGUGUAUUUGAAAGUCGGCAGCAUUCUGACAGCGAUUAGAAUGUCCUCCGUCUGCUAGUCUUCUUGAUUCUUAAAUUCUCUGGAGCUCAAAUAAACAACAAAGCUUUGUGGAACUAAUUAAGUGUUAGCAUAAACAUCUAGCCUUUAUCAUGUUGAAACUUCUUAAUAAAUAUUACUCCCUAUUUUUUAUAUUUUUCAUUUUAUAGAGUAGAAAAGAAAUAUUUAUUUUAUUUUUAUGCCACCACAGUGAAUGUACUUAUGGGUUUUAUGCCACUCGUAUACUCACAUGGGGCUUACUGUUUUUUAACAUUUUUUUAUUUUCUUUUUAGGAUAGUAUGAACAUGAUUAACUAAGUAAACUGUUUAAAUAAUUGAAAGGGAAAAGAUAACUACCAAGUUUACCUCUUGGCAAGGCGUUCGGUGUUUUUAAGUCCUCCGAACGGGACUCUCCAUUUUCUCAAUUGUUCUGGGAUUCGUUAGGUGGCGUAGUCGGUACUUCCGGCGGCGCCACCUCUUCAUGUAUAGUUAUCUUCUCUCUCCACACCUGACUUGGUGCUACGGUCUCCUUUGGAUAAUUCUGUUUAAACUGUAUGUCUUCUGACCUUGUCACUUCGCCUUCAUAGUCUGCCCAUCCAUCCUUGAUGAUCUGCCUCCUCUGGUUGCGGUUGCGUCGUUUUCUGACCUGCUUAGAUUCUUCAAUGAUAUAGUUAGGGUCAGUAAAAUAGCGGCAUACCUUCUCUGAGGGGAAGUGCAUAUGGACUUCUCCAGUACCAAUGUAGAUGAUUGCUUUAACGGUGCUAAGGAACGGUCUUCCAAGGAUGAUGGGUGGAUCGUAUUCGUCUUCUCCCAUGUCAAUAACCUAAAAGUCUAUGUAGACAAAAUGAUCGUCUAUUUUGACAGGGACAUCAGUUACUGUUCGUUUAACCUCUCGAAAUGUCUGAUCUGCCAUCUGGAGCUGAAUGUAUGUUGGUUUGAAGGGCAUGGUUACGAACAAGAGCCGAUAGGUGACUGCAGCCAUUAUGUUGACGCCCGAUCCAGUGUCGCAAGUCGUCUUGUAGAAGUUAUAUCCAUUUAUGGAGCAAUAGAUGCUUGGCAUUCCAGGGUCAUCCUUCUUAGUCAAAAAUGGUGACUUAAGUUGAUGCUCUUGGCCUCCAUGAACUGCAGUGACCAUCUUAGCUGACUCGGUCCACACUUGCUUGUUCCUCCUCCUGUUGGUCCUCUUCCUUGGUUCACGUCUGGAUUGAUCUGGGAUUUGUAUAGUCUUGUUCUUGAAGGAAAAUGCCUCCUUCUUCCCUUUGAUGUAGAAACUGAUCUUGGCAGCACUAGCGUAGAUGACAGCACCCGAGGUGUUCAAGAAUGGCCUCCCUAAGAUGAUGGGUGCCCUCUCAUCAUUACCGGUCUCUAUCACCACGAAGUCUGCUGGGGCAUAUAAGGUACCAACUCGGACACAAAGGUUCUUCAAUAUUCCUUUUGGAAAACUUAAUGCCUGAUCUGCAAACUGCAAACACAUGGUUGUUUCUAAUAAAGGAUAUGUACAGAAUUUUUCAUAGAGUACCCUAGGUAUAAUGUUGACGCUAGAGCCAAAGUCACAUAGUGCUUCUGGGACGUCCACCGUACCGAUGGAGAUCGGGAUGACGGGGCGUCCAGGAUCGCCUCUCUUGACCGGCAGAAGGUUAGUAGUAACUUCAAUGAUGGGGUUACUCCAAUUACCUGCAUCAAACAUGUCUACAAGAUUUGCAGAUUCUAAUCCUUCCGGUUGUGAUAGUAUACCGGGGUUAGUAGUAGGAACAACAGCACCUAUUUGAUUUAAUUCAGAUUCUAUCAUUUAAUUAAAGCUAAUUUGAUUCUUGAUGGCAGUAGAGAAAUUAUCCAUUCUAUUAUUUAUAUUUUCUAGCAUUUUAUCAUUUGAUGCCAAUUUCUUUGAUAGGUUAUCCAUUAGCUUUCCUUGAUUAGACACUAACUCUCUCAGAGGUGGAAAAUUAUUAUUAUUAUGAUUAUUGUAAGAAUUGUUACCUUGAUAAUUACUUGAGUAGUUAGGCCUCUGUUGAUUCCAACCUUGAUUUUGUUGAGGACGGUUGUAGUAGUAGUUGUUGUUAUUGUUGAUAUAGUUCACAUCCUCAAGCAUCUCAGGAUAGUGAUUGCCUGAGUGUCCAGUGUCUCCACACUCCUCGCAAGUCAUGUGAGAGUCGUAGAUGUGCACAACUUCUUUCUUAUCUCCAGCUCUAUCAUCGAGCUUUUUCUUGAGCAGGUCUAGCUUUGCAGACAGCAUGUCUACCUCCUUGAGCUGAUACAUACCUCUACCUCUCUUGCGUGUCUGGGUCCUCUCUUCAUUUCAGCCUUGGUUGGACGCCAUCUUCUCCACAAGAGCUGUGGCUUCUGAUAUGGUAAGUGAUAGGAAUGCUCCUCCAGCUGCAUCAUCCAUGGUUUCUCGAGCACUGUUGCCGAGCCCAUGAUAAAAUGUCUGCAUUAGUAGCCAACUCUCCAUUCCAUAAUGGGGACAUUCUAGGAUGUAGUCUUGGAAGCGCUCCCAUGCUUCUGGAACGGAUUCUUCAUGUUGUUGUUAAAAACUUGUAAUCUUCCCACGGAGAGCAUUGGUCUUGCCCAUGGGAAAGAACUUAGCCAGAAAGUUCGUUGAGCAGAGUGCCCACGUAGUAUUCUUCUCCUUUGUAGCGUAGAACCACUGCUUCGCUCUUCCUAACAGUGAGAAUGGGAAGAGGCGAAGUAGUAUAGCAUCUCUGGAAACGCCUGAUAUGGUAAAUGUGUUGCAAAUGUUGGAGAUGAGCACUAGCAUCUUCGUGUGCCUUCCCACAGAACUGGUUGGAUUGCACCAUGUUGAUAAGUCCAGGCUUGAGCUCAAAGUUGCCGUCGAUCUCUGCAGCAGGUCCAGUGCGGAUGUUGUCCGUAGUGGGAGCUGAGAACUCGCGGAUCGAUUUGUUCACCAUGGCUUCGAACUCUGAAGACAAGUUCCGGUGAUCUUCUUGAUUGGAUGAAGCUUCUUGCUGAAGUGUUGAUGAUCUCUUCUUGAGCUUGGCUCUUGUUUUUCUGAAUAAUGCUUCGGGAUUGUCAACAAAAUUUCCUAGAAGAUGUCUUCUAUUCAUACAUUAUCCUGCAUAAGAUAAAACAGAAAAAUACUGGGGUAAAACUGUAUGAGAGAAUUGAUAAGCUCAAUCAUAUUAGUGAUGCGAAUGAUAACUCCAAAUCCUAUAUUUAUUCCUGAUUAGUAAUCAACCUUCUCCGGCAAUGGCGCCAAAAAUGCUUGUUGGGUAUUCCUAACAUCAUUACCAAAAGUAGACUUAGUUUUCUAAUUCUGAUAACGGUGCCAAAAAUGCCAAAACUAUCUCUCAUACCACUUAAGCCAAGUUGUCAUCCCCAGCAUGACAUGAGAGACGCGGUAUUGAAAUAUGCAAUUGCUCAUCUAAAUAAAUAAUGAAUGGGAUCUGCAAGCGCACAGAUUAAUACCGAUGUAGCAUUUUAACCGGGAAGUAUUCCAGGUAUCGUUAUUUAUAUUUUUACCAUAGGGAAGGGAUUAGUAACCAUCAAUGUUGAUUAUAGAAUGGAAUAUGAGAUUGAGUAUCUAUCAUUGCAUGUAUAAUUGAGAACAUUUAUCUAACUCUUUCAUACAGGGAUAAGUACCACAUAAAAGAUAUAUGAAAUAAUGAAUAGUGACAAAGAUAAUUAAUCUGAUCAGCAUAACUUAGCCACAUAAUAAAUAUGAUAAGCACCUCAAUUAGAUACUCUAGAAAGUCAUUAGCAUGGAAUUAGAACGAACUACAAGAAUAUUUCCUAAGUUAUUCUCAACUAUAUAGUCUAGCAUUAUCAUAGUUAGUGCAAGCAUACUUAGCAAUCAUUGCAAGACAAGACUGCGCCCAUGCAUAGUGAUAUUAGCAAGGUAAAUGAGAAUCAUAGCAAUCACUCCCCUGUAAUAAUGUUGCUCUGCCAGCCCAAUACACGAGAGGGGGACUAUAUAGGAAUCAAUGAAGCUGUCGCUAUCACGAACUACCCCACGAUCUAGCAUAUUGGGUACAAUCGUAGAUAUAUACGGUAUAAGCACCACGCCUACACAAUAUCUAUCAUUUACCCAUGGAUCCGAUGGAUAAACGCUAUACGAUCCUAAGCAUGUAUAUAGAUCCAAUCUAACUAAGCCAAGUAUAUAACUAUGAUAAACUAAGAACAAUAUAAUCUUGAAUAUAAACAAGAAGAGCAAAGUCAUAAGCAAUAUAUGGAAGUAGAACAAAGUCAUAUCCAUAAUAUUGAAGAACAAAGAUAAUUAGAAAAACAAUUAGAAGCACAAUUAGAGAAUUACUAAGAAUCCUCUUGAUAGAUCCGGAAACCAAUCGAAGAUUGACUCCUAGUUCUAAUCCUAUGUAGCUAUGCUAAUCUAGAUAUCUAAUUGAUGUGGUGGCUCUAAUCUUGAUCAGAGGCUUCUUCUCCCUUGAGGAACAAUUAAUUAGGGUUGAGAGGCGCUCUCCUCCAGGGGCCAGGGGGUCUGGUUUUAUAGUCCCUUCAAGUGAAUAUGGGCCGUUGGAUCAAACCGACAUAGAUUGAACGGUUAUCCUUGAUCCUUUAGGUCGGUGGAGAUCUUUCCUGAAAGAGUGUCCUGAUUGGAGUCCAACAGGGGGCGGGCGCCCAUGUCAACUGGGCGGGCGCCCAGUGCCUGGCCCCGUUCGGCCUCCGCUUCCUUCCCGUGGCUUCUGGAGUCUUCUAGAUGUAAGAUAAUUGUGCGGCACGUUGAUAUCUCUAUGUAAUCCCGACGUGUGGGCCUUUCUUCCGUAUUUCCUGAUAACCCCCUGCAGAAAUAGACAAACACCAAAACUCGUGGAAUUCUGUUAGAUAAAACCCUAAGUCUAGAUAUUGAUUUCAUUUGGAUCCUUUUCUUUGUUUAUUUGAUAAUUAAAUUUGAUACUUAAGGACCGUCAACAUCAACAUCCAGCUUAGGGGAGGCACCCCCACGUGUAUCUAGAUAAGUAUUACUUUCCUUUCUUGGUUUUAUUUACUAGUAUUUGGAAAUAAAUAGAAAAAUGCAUAACCAUGAAACCAAACAAAGUUUUUCUUUUGAGUAAUAUACAAUAGUUUUGUGUAAUCCUAAGUUUUAAAUAAAAUAAAAAGAAAGUUUGAACCAAUUCUAGGUAAUUGACAAACAUGAUAUGAGAAGGUCUGAGCUACUAUUUAACUUGUUCCAAGUUUCGCUAGAGUUCUGGAGAUUUUAUCUUUUGAAAAUCUAAAAAUUCAAAAAAAAUGAUGACAUCCGGUUUCACAUAAUACCUAGAGUCUUAUAAGAUAUAAAUAUUAAAACUAUGGGCACUUGCUUUGUUCAAGCCAUUGUUAAUUCUUGUAGUUUUGGUUGAGAGAAUUAUCAUGCUCCAAAGAUCAAGAUCUUUUUGUUUUAAAAAUAUAAAAGAUUCACUCUUCCGAAGUAUUAUUGCGCUAGAGGCAUGGGACUAUGCAAAAAUUUGAUUCGAAAAAAGAGUGAGACGAGAGGUAAAAAUGGACAAGUGUCCAAAGUAGAAUUAGGGGUACAAAGAUACCCACCUGAGUGGAAAAAAUGGACACGUGUCCGACAGUAGAAUUAGGGGUACUUGGUGCCCACUUGAAAAAAGGGGAAAAAAGAGAGAGACUGAAAACAGAAAGAGAUGACAAACUUUUCAAAAAGGUCAAAGGUCUUGAUCUAGGAGUAUGACAUUCCUCUCCCUUGCUUCGAGCAUUGACAUAGCAAAAUGCAAAGUAAGUAUGCUAAAACUUUUAAAGGUCUACUCAUAUAUCUUUUGAGAAGAAGGCAAAUGCCUCAGUUUUAUUUUGGAAACUUACAAAAGGACUCCAGAACAAAGGUAAGACAGAAGAACUUGAGACAUAGUGCUUGACUUGAUCGUUUUGUUUUUCAAUCACUUAAGACCUUAGUGAUAACUUAAAAACCCUAUAGUAAGAGGCAUAAAACUAACCCCUUUUUUCUUACUGAUUUUAGCUUUGCUCAGGGACGAGCAAAGGUUAAGCUUGGGGGAGCUUGUUGACGGUCCUUAAUGCUCACAUUUAACCGUCAACUAAUCAUAAAAAAUGACCUAUAUGCAAUCAACAUCAAAGUUUAGGGUUUCAUCUCACAGAAUUCCAUGAGUUUUGGUGUUUGUCUAUUUCUGCAGGGGGUUAUCAGGAAAUAUGGAGGAAAGGUCCACACGUCGGGCUUACAUAGAGAUAUUCACGUGCACCGCAAUUAUCCGACAUCUACAAGAGUCUAUAAGCCACGGGAACGAGUGGGAGGCUGAGGGGGCCCUAGGGCUGGGCGCCCACCCUCCCCCCUUGGGCGCCCGCCCAAGGCUCUCAGCCAAUCAGGGUCCAUCUCGCGGAUAAUGCUCCACCGACCUAAAGGAUUAUGGAAAACCGUGGGAUUAAGGUCGGUUUGAUCCGACGGCUCAUAUUCAUUUGGAGGGCUAUAUAAGCAGACCCCCACCAGCCUCUGGAGGCAUAUCUCUUCUACGGAAUCAAAGCUAGGGUUUCAAUUAUUCAUCCAAGUAGAGAGGAUCCAUCUAGUUCAUAUAGUUCUAGUUCUAGUUCAUCUAGUUCUAGUUCUAGUUGUAAUCUAGAAAAUAGGGAGAGAGAAGACGAGAGCGGAGGAGGAGCCGGAUCUGUCGGAUCUUCCUCAACAUUGUACUUUUGCAGCAAAUGGUUCGUUCUUCAUCGUUCUCCAAGUUCUUCAAUUCAUAAUUUCUGAGUUCUUUAAUUACUUUUAUUUACAUUCAAGUUAUUUAUUGGAUUCCCGCUUGCAUCAAGUGCUCUAGUCUUUGCAACGCUAGAGUAGUAAUUAAUAGAUUAGACGUGGUGCUUAGUCUUGCAAUUACCUAGAAUUACACCCAAUCCUACGGAUUGUUGUGGUAGCCCUAGGGUAGUGACAGCCCUAACGGUCGACGUAGUUCACCUCGUUUGGAUCGGUGUUUGUAGGACCAUAGUCAGAGCUUCCUAGCCCCAUUCUCAUCUCUUUCAACGGUUAGUGUUCUGAUGUCCCGAAAUAAAUAAUCUGUGAAGUAAUUCUUGAUUCUUAGAUCAACUAGAGAACUCUCAGCAAACUUCCUCUCUUCCCACCAAAAAUAAUUAUAUAGUUAUCCUUGGGCGAUCUUGAAUCUUAAUUAGUACACUCACGUUCUCUGUGGAAAAUUGAUACUCUGGAAUACUCCCGGGUGAAAUCUACAACGGUAUCCGUGCACUUGCGGAUUUUUCUGUUUGCGUUUAAAACACCCAACAAUCCACUUCUAUGCCUUUUCCUGAAACAACAAAGCUAAGAAAUACAACAUGGUCUGUGCAAAAACUGCACUUCUCAAGAUUAGCAAAUAAUUUCUCCUUUCUAAGCUCUUCCAAGACAUACCGAAUAUGAUUCACAUGUUCCUCAAAAGACUUGCUGUAAAUUAGGAUAUAAUUGAAGUAGACAACAACAAAUUUUCCAAUGAAAUCUCUCAAGACAUGGUUCAUUAAUCUCAUGAAAGUACUAGGAGCAUUAGUCAAACCAAAAGACAUAACUAACCAUUCAUACAGCCCAAAUUUUGUUUUAAAUGCAGUUUUCCAUUCAUCCCCUAUUUUCAUUCUUAUCUGAUGGUAUCUACUUCUCAAAUCAAUUUUAGUGAGUAUGGUGGAACUACUUAAUUCAUCAAGCAUGUCAUCUAAACGUGGAAUAGGAUGGCGAUAGCGAACAGUAAUGUUAUUUAUAGCUCUACAAUCAACACACAUCCUCCAAGAACCAUCUUUCUUAGGCACUAAAAUUAUAGGUACAACACAAGGACUUAAACUUUCACGAACAAAACCUUUAUCAAGAAGUUCUUGCACUUGCCUUUGUAUCUCCUUUGUUUCUUCUGGAUUGGUUCGGUGUGGUGGUCGAUUAGGUAAUGCAGCUCCUGGAAUGAGAUCAAUUUGAUGUUCAAUCCCACGAAUUGGAGGUAGUCCCGCCGGUGUUUCUUCUGAAAGACAUCUCCAUAGUCCUGCAAAAGAUGAGACACAACACUAGGAAGAGAGGUCAUGUCGUUAGCUGAAAUUAAAAUGUCUUUGUACACAAGUACAAAGAGCACUUGUUCAGGGUUGUUCCUCACUUCUUGUUGGCAUUUCUUAACGUCAUCACUUAGAACAGGGUUUAAUCCGUCCUCAGCAACGAUGUCAGAAAUGUCGUGAUAACACUUACUAAUGCAAUAACCAAGAUUAGAGUAUAAAUCUAUCUUAAGCAACGGUGCCAGAAAUGCUUGUUAGCAUUUCUUAGUGUCGCUACCUAGAAUUGGGUUCUGCUCUACUCAUGAUAAUGACAUUGGCAGUGUUAUAUUGGCAGAUCCGUAGCAUCACCACCUUGAAUAGGAAGCUAGAUCUACCUUCCCGAUAAUGGCGCCUUAUUACCGUUAGGGUAGGGUUCCAGUUCUUAAUCAUGGUAGUGGCACUAGGAUUGCCAUGUUGGUAUUCCUUAACAAGUCACUAGCUCGGCGCAUGUCUAGCAAUAGUGUUAAGUAUAUACCGGGGUGAUAGUUCCUUAGGUUUGGAGUUUAAGUACCGCAAGCGGACGGGAAUUAUCGUGUAGCAUUUCAACCCUGGGAUUUACCGAGUGUCGUAUUUAUAAGUUCGCUCUAAGGAAGGCUUAAUAUGUUAAGGAUUCUAAGAUAAGCAUAGAUCAAAGUAAUUAUGAUAGAAAAAAUGGAAUCAAAGGUCAUAGCAGGUGAUAAACAUUUAUAUGUAGAAUAGUGAUCCAUCACAAUCUAGGCAUGGCAUAUGGGCUAAGGAAUAAAAAGAGACUAAAAGAAUGAAUUGAAUCAAAGAAUAAACAAACAACCUAUUGGAGCAGGUGUGGUCCUAGAUACAUAUCAUGUCAUAGAACAAGUUAAUCAUGUAAUUAUACUACUUAGAUCUAGUCCUGUGUUUAGAUGGUUUGCAAGGUUACGCGAGUACUGUUCUGCCAGCAACCUCCGCAACUAUUUAGACUCCUACACCCUAGCCGAACGUGGGGGAAUGCCAAGGACGGACAGGGCUGUGACCACCUGCCGCCAUCCCCUCAACCGUGGACUAGGACAAUGCAUUUACCCGGCCUUUACACCCAAGCACCAUGCUUACAUGCAAAGAACCUACUCGGACUCCCCCGGGUCCCCGAACCUACGGAUCAACAGGUAAGAAGCCCGAGCCUACUCAAAAGAGCAUGAUAAACCCCCAUCUUCACACAAAGCUAUUUCUAGGCAAUUAAUUAACAUGUGUUGACGGUCCUUAAUGCUCACAUUUAACCGUCAACUAAUCAUAGAAAAGGAUCCAAAUGCAACCAACACCUAGACUUAGGGUUUUAUCUGACAGAAUUCCACGAGUUUUGGUGUUUGUCUAUUUCUGCAGGUGGUUAUCAGGAAAUAAGGAAGAAAGGCCCACACGUCGGGUUUACAUAGAGAUAUUAACGUGUCGCGCAAUUUUCUAUCAUCUAGAAGACUCCAGAAGCCACGAGAACAAAGCGAAAGCUGAGAGGCCUUAGGGAUAGGGCGCCCGCCCUAGUCCUGAGGGCGCCCGCCCACCUUUUUCCACCAAACAGAGUCCAAUUUGGGGACAACACUCCACCGACCUAAAGGAUCAAGGAAAACCGUGCGAUUAAUGUCGGUUUGAUCCAAUGGCCCAUAUUCACUUGAAGGGACUUUAAAACCAGACCCCCUGGCCCCUGGAGAUUGUUGGGUAUUCUUAACAUCAUUACCAAAAGUAGACUAAGUUCUCUAAAUCUAGUAACGGUGCCAAAAAUGCUAAACCUAUCCCUCACACCACUUAAGCCAAGUUGUCAUCCCCAGCAUGAUAUAAGAGACGCGGUAUUGAAAUAUGCAAUUGCUCUUCUAAAUAAAUAAUGAAUUGGAUCUGCAAGCGCACAGAUUAAUACCGAUGUAGCAUUUUAACCGGGAAGUAUUCCAGGUAUCGUUAUUUAUAUUUUUACCACUGGGAAGGGAUUAGCAAUCAUCACUAAUGAUUACAGAAUAGAAUAUGAGAUUGAGCAUCUGUUGGGUAUUCUUAACAUCAUUACCAAAAGUAGACUAAGUUCUCUAAAUCUAGUAACGGUGCCAAAAAUGCCAAACCUAUCCCUCACACCACUUAAGCCAAGUUGUCAUCCCCAGCAUGAUAUAAGAGACGCGGUAUUGAAAUAUGCAAUUGCUCUUCUAAAUAAAUAAUGAAUUGGAUCUGCAAGCGCACAGAUUAAUACCGAUGUAGCAUUUUAACCGGGAAGUAUUCCAUGUAUCGUUAUUUAUAUUUUUACCACUGGGAAGGGAUUAGCAAUCAUCACUAAUGAUUACAGAAUAGAAUAUGAGAUUGAGCAUCUAUCAUUGCAUGUAUAAUUGAGAACAUUAUAUCUAACUCUUCAUACAGGGAUAAGUGUCACAUAAAAGAUAUAUGAAAUAAUAAUAGUGACAAGGAUAACUAAUCUGAUCUAGCCACAUAAUAAAUAUGAUAAGCACCUCAAUUAGAUACUCUAGAAAGUCAUUACAUUGGUAUUAGAACGAACUACAAGAAUAUUCCCUAAGUUAUUCUCAACUAUAUAGUCUAGCAUAUCAUAGUUAGUGCAAGCAUACUUAGCAAUCAUUGCGAGACAAGACUACGCCCAUGCAUAGUGAUAUUAGCAAGGAAUAUGAGAAACAUAGCAAUCACUCCCCUGUAAUAAUGUUGCUCUGCCAGCCCAAUACACGAGAGGGGAACUAUAUAAGAAUCAAUGAAGCUGUCACUAUCACGAACCACCCCACGAUCUGGCAUAUUGGGUACAAUCACAGAUAAAUACGGUAUAAGCACCACGCCUACACAAUAUCUAUCAUUUACCCAUGGAUCCGAUGGAUAAACGCUAUACGAUCCUAAGCAUGUAUAUAGAUCCAAUCUAACUAAGCCAAGUACAUAACUAUGAUAAACUAAGAACAAUAUAAUCUUGAAUAUAAGCAAGCAGAGCAAAGUCAUAAGCAAUAUAUUGAAGUAGAACAAAGUCAUAUUCAUAAUAUUGAAGAACAAAGAUAAUUAGAAAGCAAUUAGAAGCACAAUUAGAGAAUUACCAAGAAUCCUCUUGACAGAUCCGGAAACCAAUCGAAGAUUGACUCCUUCUAGUUCUAAUCCUAUGUAGCUAUGCUAAUCUAGAUAUCUAAUUGAUGUGGUGGCUCUAAUCUUGAUCAGAGGCUUCUUCUCCCUUGAUGGAACAAUGAAUUAGGGUUGAGAGGCUCCCUCCUCCAGGGGCCAGGGGGUCUGGUUUUAUAGUCCCUUCAAGUGAAUAUGGGCCCUUGGAUCAAACCGACAUUGAUUGUAUGGUUUAGAUUCAUCCUUUAGGUCGGUGGAGAUCUCCCGCAAAGCAGAGUCCUGAUUGGACUCAGGAGGUGGGCGGGCGCCCUGACCAACUGGGCGGCCGCCCAGGGUCUGGCCCCGUUUCGCCUCCGCUUCGGUCUCGUGGCUUCUGGAGUCUUCUAGAUGUAAGAUAAUUGCGCAGCACGUUAAUACCUUUACGUAAUCCUGACAUGUGGGCCUUUCUUCCAUAUUUCCUGAUAACCCCCUGCAGAAAUAGACAAACACCAAAACUCGUGGAAUUCUGUCAGAUAAAACCCUAAGUCUGGAUCUUGAUUUCAUUUGGAUCCUUUUCUUUAUUUAUUUGAUAAUUAAAUUUGAUACUUAAGGACCGUCAACAAACUCCCCCAAGCUUACCUCUUGCUCGUCCCUGAGCAAGGAUAGACUCAGCAAUGGAUCAUAAGUAGUUGCAAUAUCUUUAAAAAUUGACGGUACACAUGCUUUUUAAAUAAGAUCUCAUCUCUGAGUUAGAGUAAACUGUCAAGACUUAAAACUUACUUACUUUACCUUCACCAUGGGACUUGUAACUGUCACUUCCGUCUUGAGUGGUUAAAAGAUAGAACAGUCUAGCCAAGUGCCAUGUCUCUUAUUCUUGAUCAUCUAUAGCUCUGGGGUUUUUGCAGAUUUUCAAAUAAAACUCAGAGAUUCCUUGUAUGAUUCUCUCAGAUCUCUCUUUUGUGGUAUUUUUGGAUCCUUACCAAGGCAUUGAUGGUAUAUGCCUUCUCUCAAGAUAUGUAGUAUUUGUGGUAUAAGGCAUAGUGACAUUGCCUUCUCUCUCACCCUACUCUAAUAAGGCUUUAAUAUCUGGAGCUCAUAGGUGGGAGAUAAAGUAUACAUACUCACAGGACAUUUAUUGCAUAGUCAAACCAUGGAUCCAAAGAAACAAAUCAAUAAGCCAAAUCAAGAUGUGCAUGUGUGGCGAAUGAAUGGUGUAUGGUGAUGAUGGUGAUAACAAUGGUGAAAACAAUGGUGGUGGAAGUCUAAUUCUACUUUGCUCUUUUUAGGGGAUACAUACCUUCCUUGCUUUUGAAACUUUAUGAGGAGAAUGAGAUGCUCUUCUUUUUCUUGUCUCUGAGGUGGGUAUCUUGUACCCCUAAUUCUACUGUCGGACAGUUGUCCAUUUUUACCUCUCGUCUCACUCUUUCUUUUCUUUCGAGGUUCCGAGCACUUGCUCCUUUUUAUUUUCUCGUAUAUUUUUUUUAUUUUCUUCUUUUUUUUAGAGCACUCAUCUCUUGAGAUAAUAUAGCAAGUGGUAGUAACAAGAUAACUUGAGCAUUUAUUUCACAAGGGGAAACAGAAAUAUUUUUGGUUAUUCUCUCCCGGAUUAGGAGUAGAAUAUUUUUAGGUGGUUCUGGAGAUGGAAAUGGAUGGAUAUAUGUGGAUGGUACUUCCGGAGUAGAAGUAGCAUAUAUGAGUGAACGUGCAAGUGAAAUCUUGAUUUAACCACAUGACAAGCUCCUAAGGGUCUACACAGCUUGACCACACUCAAUGCUCAUAAGCAGUAAAUAAUAAAUGUGUGGCUCAAAGUCUAGCAAGCAUGUAUAUAUGGCGGUGGUAGGAAUUUAAGCUCUCAUCAUACAGGAACUCAUCAUGCAACAUUUUAAAGAUUUUCAAAGAUAAAAUUCUCCAGAAUUCUAGCAUCUCUAGGAACAGAUAAACAGCAGCUCAACCUUCCCAUAUCGUAUCCGUUAACAACUUAGACUUCAGAUCAAGUUUUCAUCCCACAAGUUUAGGUCUAGGGCAAGCUUUAAAUUAUAACAGUUAUAUCUAAACUUGAGAGAGAACUUAGAAUGUGCAAAUUAGGUAGAGCAACUAUUCAUCAUAUCCAUGCUUAAGUUUUUGUUUAGAUACAGAUUAGCAUAGCCACUUUAUUUAUUUAUUAAACACACUAAGCAAAAGACAUAUAUAAGCAUAAAAUCUUUAUUUGGUUUUCCCAUAGUUUAUGUGUAUUUUAAUAUUCUAAAAUAAUAUAAGUAUAAAAAUAGAUAGAAAUACUUAUCGAGGUAAAUGGGGGUUUUCCCAUAGUUUAUGUGUAUUUUUAUUUUCUUUUUAGGAUAGUGCGAACAUGAUUAACUAAGUAAACUAGUUGAAAUAAUUAAAAGGGAAAGGAUAACUACUAAGUUUACCUCUUGGCAGGGCGUUCGGUGUUUUUAAGUCCUCCGAACGGGACUCUCCAAUUUCUUAAUCGUCCUGAGGUUCGUUGGGUGGCGAAGUCGUUACUUCUGGCAGCGCCUCCUCUUCUUGUAUAGUUAUCUUCAUUUUCCAUACCUGACUCGAUGCUUCAAUCUCCUCUGGAUAAUUCUGUUUAAACUCCACGUCUUCUGACCUUACAACUUCUCCUUCAUAGUCUGCCCAUCCGUCCUUGAUGAUCUGCCUCCUCUGGUUGCGGUUGCGUCUCUUUCUGACCUGCUUAGAUUCUUCAAUGAUAUAGUUAGGGUCAGUAAAAUAACGGCGUACCUUCUCUGAGGGGAAGUGCAUAUGGACUUCUCCGGUUCCAAUGUAGAUAAUUGCUUUAACGGUGCUGAGGAACGGUCUUCCAAGGAUGAUGGGUGGAUCGUACUCGUCUUCUCCUAUGUCAAUAACUUGAAAGUCUGUGUAGACAAAGUGAUCGUCUAUUUUGACUCGGACAUCGGAUAUUAUUCCUUGAACUUCUCGAAAUGUCUGAUCUGCCAUCUGGAGCUGAAUGUAUGUUGGUCUUAGUGGCAUGGUCCCGAACAAGAGCCGAUAAGUGACUGCGGCCAUUAUGUUGACGCCCGAUCCGGUGUCGCAAAUCGUCUUGUAGAAGUUAUAUCCAUUUACGGAGCAGUAGAUGCUUGGCAUUCCUGGGUCGUCCUUCUUGGUCAAACACGGUGACUUAAGUUGGUGAUCUUGGCCUCCAUGGACUACAGUGACCAUCUUAGCUGACUCGGUCCAUACUUGCUUGUUCCUAUUUCUCCUGUUGGUCCUCUUCCUUGAUUCACGUCUGGAUUGAUCUGGAAUUCGUGUAGUCUUGUUCUUGAAGAAAAAUGUCUCCUUGUAAGGACCUUGAUGUCGCCUAGAGGGGGGUGAAUAGGCGUACCAAAAAAACCUGAAACUCAAAACUCAAGUUGCGGAAGUUAAAUGCCUGUCGGUACCACCGACAGUUUGGGCCGGUACUACUGGUGUAAGACAGCCAGUACUACCGACGCAACUGUUGGUACUACCGACGCCCUAAGAGGGCUACGAAAUCAGAGUAUUUUGAGUUUCUAUUCCAGAUGUGAGAGUUACCCCACUCUCCUAGAUGUAGUAGAGGAUGAUGUUGAAGUUCCCUUGGCUUGGUUCUUCUCCAAAACAUAGAUCGGCCCUUGUUCACCUAUGAACGGGGUAGAUAGGAAGAACACAAAAAACACAAGAACAAGGGUAGUCGAAGCUACCUCCACAGCAAGACAUGAUAUUUAUCCCGUGGUUCAGCUCGCCACCAAGGCUUGCCUAUGUCCACGUUGUUGAGGAAGCCACACAGGCUUUUCGGGUCUCUUUCAACCCUAUCCUCGUUCUCAAGUCAAGAGAGCAAUCCCUUGAGAUGAGGGGUGAUUUCACUAGGUGAUUUGAGUGACUACAAACCUCCCGAGGCUACCACAUGAGUAGGAAGCUCUACGGGCAAUGCCUAGCCGGCUAGGAGCCUUGCUCCAAGAGUAACAAACACAAAUCCAACCGGCUUGACGAAGAAAUCAAGUGCUCAAGCUUUGCUUUGAUGUUUCUCUCACCAAGAAUCCUUCUCUCACUCAAUCCCUUGCAAGAUUUGAAGUUAGGAGCAAAGGGGAUACACGAGAGGGGCUUUUGGGAGCUAGAGAGGUGCCUUGGCUGAAGGUUUGGUCGAGUGGAAGAGUGAGCCAACGGUUAGAAAGAGGGGAAAGCUAUUUAUACAGGUGUUCAGAACAACUGCCGGUACUACCGGGGCAACCACCGGUACCACCGGCUACCUCAGAUCUAACGGUAAGAAGUCUCUAUGAUUUGCGAGAAAUAAGCCUACCGGUACCACCGGGCUUUUGUCGGUACUACCGACCAUUGCCGGUACCACCGGUGGAAGGCCGGUACCACCGGCAGUUCAAAUCUCCGCAACCAAAGUCAGCGCGGAUUUGGCCUGCCGGUACUACCGACGUUUCACACCGGUACUACUGGUGCUGGCCGGUACCACCGGCCCGAGCCCGGUACUACCGGUAGUUCAUUUUCUUGCAAAACUCAGGAGAAAGGGCUGGCAUUGCCGGUACGACCGGCCCUGAGGGUUGGUACUACCGGGUCACCUUGGCAGAGAAGAAAUUUCGUGAGUGCCUAAGAGUGCAAGUGUUAGAGUGUCUCUCUUUUGAUUAGUUUUAAUACUUGAGCACUCUAUCUUCCUCAAACCAACUAAAUUUGCAUCCCUCUUUAUAGUGCGGCAAAUCCUAAACUCAAGGUCAAAAGUAUAUAACCAAUUUAACCACUUGAGUCUUCAAUGUCUUCAUAUGCCACUUCUUCUCAAUAUCACUUCAUCAAGGAUGCAAUUAACUUUGUCUCAUCUUCUUUGAGUAAAUAUAGCUUGAGCAUGUGACUUUAAUCAUUUCAACAUAUGUGAGUUCAAUCCAUGACUUCAAGUCACUUCCAUUAAAGAUUUUGAUCCUCAACACAAUAUGACUCAUCAUAGCUUAAUUAGUACCUCGACUCAAUGCAAGUACUCUCUUCUUCACCUUAGCCAUGGUACCUCGGUCUACAAGCCAUUGCUUGACCUUCACCUUCGCUUAGUCCCUCGAAGCCUUUUCCUUGCUAUCUUCACUCUAUCAAGCCAUACUCAAGUCACAUCAUGUUAAGCAUCCAUUGAAAAAUUGUUUCUUCAAUAUUGUGAUUCUUGCUUGAAUAUCUUCUUGAUAUGAGCGUUAACAUUAAACAAGCUUCAGUUUACACCAACACACAACUUUGGUCUUCAUUUGAACAAUGUGUGAAAUACCAUCAAGUUUGCUUUCUUGUUGACCCUUUGAUACACUUAGCAAACUUGUUAGACCCUUAAUUGUGUUGUCAUUCAAUUCACCAAAACCCACUAAAGGGCUAGAUGCACUUACACUCCUUCUUCCCUUUGACGUAUAAACUGAUCUUGGCAGCUCUGGCGUAGAUGAUAGCUCCUGUGGUGUUCAAAAAUGGCCUUCCUAGGAUGAUAGGUGCUCUCUCAUCAUUUCCGGUCUCUACCACUACGAAGUCUGCUGGGGCAUACAAGGUACCAACUCGGACACAAAGGUUCCUCACUAUUCCUUUUGGAAAAGUUAUCGUCUGAUCUGCAAACUGCAAACACAUGGUUGUCUCUAAUAAAGGAUAUGUAAAGAAUUUCUCAUAGAGUACCCUGGGUAUAAUGUUGACGCUAUAGCCAAAGUCAUAGAGUGCUUCUGGAACAUCCACCAUGCCGAUGGAGAUCGGGAUGACGGGGCGUCCUGGAUCGCCUCUCUUGACCGGCAGACGGUCAGUAGAAAAUUCAGUGACGGGGUUACUCCAAUUACCUGCAUGAAACAUGUCUACAAGAUUUGCAGAUUCUAAUCCUUCCGUUUGUGAUGGUAUACCGGGGUUAGUAGUAGGAACAGCAGCAACUAUUUGAUUUAACUGAGAUUCAAUCAUUUUAUUAAAGCUAAUUUGAUUCUUGAUGGCAGUAGAGAAAUUAUCCAUUCUAUUAUUUAUAUUUUCUAGCAUUUUAUCAUUUGAUGCCAAUUUCUUAGACAGGUUAUCCAUUAGCUUUCCUUGAUUAGACACUAACUCUCUCAAAGGUGGAAAAUUAUUAUUAUUGUUGUAAGAAUUGUUACCUUGAUAAUUACCUGAGUAGUUAGGCCUCUGUUGAUUCCAACCUUGAUUUUGUUGAGGACGGUUGUAGUUGUUGUUGUUGUUGUUGAUGUAGUUCACAUCCUCAAGCAUCUUAGGGCAGUGGUUGCCUGAGUGUCCAGUGUCUCCACACUCCUCACAAGCCAAAAAUGCUUGUUGGGUAUUCUUAACAUCAUUACCAAAAGUAGACUAAGUUCUCUAAAUCUAGUAACGGUGCCAAAAAUGUCAAACCUAUCCCUCACACCACUUAAGCCAAGUUGUCAUCCCCAGCAUGAUAUAAGAGACGCGGUAUUGAAAUAUGCAAUUGCUCUUCUAAAUAAAUAAUGAAUUGGAUCUGCAAGCGCACAGAUUAAUACCGAUGUAGCAUUUUAACCGGGAAGUAUUCCAGGUAUCGUUAUUUAUAUUUUUACCACUGGGAAGGGAUUAGCAAUCAUCACUACUGAUUACAGAAUAGAAUAUGAGAUUGAGCAUCUAUCAUUGCAUGUAUAAUUGAGAACAUUAUAUCUAACUCUUCAUACAGGGAUAAGUGUCACAUAAAGGAUAUAUGAAAUAAUAAUAGUGACAAAGAUAAGUAAUCUGAUCUAGCCACAUAAUAAAUAUGAUAAGCACCUCAAUUAGAUACUCUAGAAAGUCAUUAGCAUGGUAUUAGAACGAACUACAAGAAUAUUCCCUAAGUUAUUCUCAACUAUAUAGUCUAGCAUAUCAUAGUUAGUGCAAGCAUACUUAGCAAUCAUUGCGAGACAAGACUACGCCCAUGCAUAGUGAUAUUAGCAAGGAAUAUGAGAAACAUAGCAAUCACUCCCCUGUAAUAAUGUUGCUCUGCCAGCCCAAUACACGAGAGGGGGACUAUAUAAGAAUCAAUGAAGCUGUCACUAUCACGAACCACCCCACGAUCUGGCAUAUUGGGUACAAUCGCAGAUAAAUACGGUAUAAGCACCACGCCUACACAAUAUCUAUCAUUUACCCAUGGAUCUGAUGGAUAAACGCUAUACGAUCCUAAGCAUGUAUAUAGAUCCAAUCUAACUAAGCCAAGUACAUAACUAUGAUAAACUAAGAACAAUAUAAUCUUGAAUAUAAGCAAGUAGAGCAAGGUCAUAAGCAAUAUAUUGAAGUAGAACAAAGUCAUAUUCAUAAUAUUGAAGAACAAAGAUAAUUAGAAAGCAAUUAGAAGCACAAUUAGAGAAUUACCAAGAAUCCUCUUGACAGAUCCGAAAACCAAUCGAAGAUUGACUCCUUCUAGUUCUAAUCCUAUGUAGCUAUGCUAAUCUAGAUAUCUAAUUGAUGUGGUGGCUCUAAUCUUGAUCAGAGGCUUCUUCUCCCUUGAUGGAACAAUGAAUUAGGGUUGAGAGGCUCUCUCCUCCAGGGGCCAGGGGGUCUGGUUUUAUAGUCCCUUCAAGUGAAUAUGGGCCCUUGGAUCAAACCGACAUAGAUUGUAUGGUUUAGAUUCAUCCUUUAGGUCGGUGGAGACUUCCCGCAAAGCAGAGUCCUGAUUGGACUUGGGAGCAGGGCGGGCGCCCAGUAGGACAGGGCGGGCGCCCUGUCUCUAGCCCUGAUUCGCCUCAGCUUCGGUCUCGUGGCUUCUGGAGUCUUCUAGAUGUAAGAUAAUUGCGCAGCACGUUAAUACCUUUACGUAAUCCUGACAUGUGGGCCUUUCUUCCAUAUUUCCUGAUAACCCCCUGCAGAAAUAGACAAACACCAAAACUCGUGGAAUUCUGUCAGAUAAAACCCUAAGUCUAGAUCUUGAAUUCAUUUGGAUCCUUUUCUUUAUUUAUUUGAUAAUUAAAUUUGAUACUUAAGGACCGUCAACAAACUCCCCCAAGCUUACCUCUUGCUCGUCCCUGAGCAAGGAUAGACUCAGCUAUGGAUCAUAAGUUGUUGCUAUAUUUUAAAAUUUUGACGGUACACAUGCUUUUAAAUAAGAUCUCAUCUCUGAGUUAGAGUAAACUGUCAAGAUUUAAAACUUACUUACUUUACCUACACCAUGGGACUUGUAACUGUCACUUCUGUCUUGAGUGGUUAAAAGAUAGAACAGUCUAGCCAAGUGCCAUGUCUCUUAUUCUUGAUCAGCUAUAACUCUGGGGUUUUUUGCAGAUUUUCAAAUAAAACUCAAAGAUUCCUUGUAUGAUUCUCUCAGGUCUCUCUUUUGUGGUAUUUUUGGAUCCUUACCAAGGCAUUGAUGGUAUAUGCCUUCUCUCAAGAUAUGUAGUAUUUGUGGUAUAAGGCAUAGUGACAUUGCCUUCUCUCUCACCCUACUCUAAUAAGGCUUUAAUAUCUGGAGCUCAUAGGUGGGAGAUAAAGUGUACAUACUUACAAGACAUUUAUUGCAUAGUCAAACCAUGGAUCCAAAGUAACAAGUCAUUAAGCCAAAUCAAGAUGUGCAUGUGUGGCGAAUGAAUGGUGUAUGGUGAUGAUGGUGAUAACAAUGGUGAAAACAAUGGUGGUGGAUGUCUAAUUCUACUUUGCUCUUUGAGGGGAUACAUACCUUCCUUGCUUUUGAAACUUUAUGAGGAGAAUGAGAUGCUCUUCUUUUUCUUGUCUCUCAGGUGGGUAUCUUGCACCCCUAAUUCUACUGUCGGACACUUGUCCAUUUUUACCUCUCGUCUCACUCUUUCUUUUCUUUCGAGGUUCCGAGCACUUGCUCCUUUUUAUUUCCUCGUAUAUUUUUUUUAUUUUCUUCUUUUUUCUAGAGCACUCAUCUCUUGAGAUAAUAUAGCAAGUGGUAGUAACAAGAUAACUUGAGCAUUUAUUUCACAAGGGGAAACAGAAAUAUUUUUGGUUAUUCUCUCCCGGAUUAGGAGCAGAAUAUUUUUGGGUGAUUCUGGAGAUGGAAAUGGUUGGAUAUAUGUGGAUGGUACUUCCGGAGUAGAAGUAGCAUAUAUGAGUGAACGUGCAAGUGAAAUCUUGAUUUAACCACAUGACAAGCUCCUAAGGGUCUACACAGCUUGACCACACUCAAUGCUCAUAAGCAGUAAAUAAUAAAUGUGUGGCUCAAAGUCUAGCAAGCAUGUAUAUAUGGCUGUGGUAGGAAUUUAAGCUCUCAUCAUACAGGAACUCAUCAUGCAACAUUUUAAAGAUUUUCAAAGAUAAAAUUCUCCAGAAUUCUAGCAUCUCUAGGAACAGAUAAACAGCAGCUCAACCUUCCCAUAUCGUAUCCGUUAACAACUUAGACUUUAGAUCAAGUUUUCAUCCCACAAGUUUAGGUCUAGGGCAAGCUUUAAAUUAUAACAGUUAUAUCUAGACUUGAGAGAGAACUUAGAAUGUGCAAAUUAGGCAGAGCAACUAUUCAUCAUAUCCAUGCUUAAGUUUUUGUUUAGAUACAGAUUAGCAUAGCCACUUUAUUUAUUUAUUAAACACACUAAGCAAAAGACAUAUAUAAGCAUAAAAUCUUUAUUUGGUUUUCCCAUAGUUUAUGUGUAUUUUAAUAUUCUAAAAUAAUAUAAGUAUAAAAAUAGAUAGAAAUACUUAUCAAGGUAAAUGGGGGUGCUCUCCCCCAAGCUGAAUUUUGACGUAAUUUCUCUUAAUGUAGCUAGCAGGUGGCAGAGGUGUAUUUGAAAGUCAGCAGUAUUCUGACAGCGAUUAGAAUGUCCUCCGUCUGCCAGUCUUCUUGAUUCUUAAAUUCUGUGGAGCUCAAAUAGACAACAAAGCUUGUGGAACUGAUUAAGUGUUAGCAUAAAUAUCUAGCCUUUAUUAUCUUGAGACUCCUCAAUAAAUAUUACUCCCUGUUUUUAUAUUUUUUUAUUUUAUAAAGCAGAAAUGAAAUUUUUAUUUUAUUUUUAUGCCACCACAGUGAAUGUAUUUAUGGGUUUUAUGCCACUCGUAUACUCACAUGGGGCUUACUGUUUUUUCACAUUUUUAUUUUCUUUUUAGGAUAGUGCGAACAUGAUUAACUAAGUAAACUAGUUGAAAUAAUUAAAAGGGAAAGGAUAACUACUAAGUUUACCUCUUGGCAGGGCGUUCGGUGUUUUUAAGUCCUCCGAACGGGACUCUCCAAUUUCUUAAUCGUCCUGAGGUUCGUUGGGUGGCGAAGUCGGUACUUCUGGCAGCGCCUCCUCUUCUUGUAUAGUUAUCUUCAUUUUCCAUACCUGACUCGGUGCUUCAAUCUCCUCUGGACAAUUCUGUUUAAACUCCACGUCUUCUGACCUUACAACUUCUCCUUCAUAGUCUGCCCAUCCGUCCUUGAUGAUCUGCCUCCUCUGGUUGCGGUUGCGUCUCUUUCUGACCUGCUUAGAUUCUUCAAUGAUAUAGUUAGGGUCAGUAAAAUAACGGCGUACCUUCUCUGAGGGGAAGUGCAUAUGGACUUCUCCGGUUCCAAUGUAGAUAAUUGCUUUAACGGUGCUGAGGAACGGUCUUCCAAGGAUGAUGGGUGGAUCGUACUCGUCUUCUCCCAUGUCAAUAACUUGAAAGUCUGUGUAGACAAAGUGAUCGUCUAUUUUGACUGAGACAUCAGAUAUUAUUCCUUGAACUUCUCGAAAUGUCUGAUCUGCCAUCUGGAGCUGAAUGUAUGUUGGUCUUAGUGGCAUGGUCCCGAACAAGAGCUGAUAAGUGACUGCGGCCAUUAUGUUAACGCCCGAUCCGGUGUCGCAAAUCGUCUUGUAGAAGUUAUAUCCAUUUAUGGAGCAGUAGAUGCUUGGCAUUCCUGGGUCGUCCUUCUUGGUCAAAAACGGUGACUUAAGUUGGUGAUCUUGGCCUCCAUGGACUACAGUGACCAUCUUAGCUGAAUCGGUCCACACUUGCUUGUUCCUGUUCCUCCUGUUGGUCCUCUUCCCUGAUUCACGUCUGGAUUGAUCUGGAAUUUGUGUAGUAUUGUUCUUGAAGAAAAAUGUCUCCUUCUUUCCUUUGAUGUAGAAACUGAUCUUGGCAGCACUAGCAUAGAUGAUAGCUCCCGUGGUGUUCAAAAAUGGCCUUCCUAGGAUGAUAGGUGCUCUCUCAUCAUUUCUGGUCUCAACCACUACGAAGUCUGCUGGGGCAUAUAAAGUACCAACUCGGACACAAAGGUUCCUCACUAUUCCUUUUGGAAAAGUUAUCGUCUGAUCUGCAAACUGCAAACACAUGGUUGUUUCUAACAAAGGAUAUGUAAAGAAUUUCUCAUAGAGUACCCUGGGUAUAAUGUUGACGCUAGAGCCAAAGUCACAGAGUGCUUCUGGAACGUCCACCAUGCCGAUGGAGAUCGGGAUGACGGGGCGUCCUGGAUCGCCUCUCUUGACCGGUAGACGGUCAGUAGAAAAUUCAGUGACGGGGUUACUCCAAUUACCUGCAUCAAACAUGUCUACAAGAUUUGCAGAUUCUAAUCCUUCCGGUUGUGAUGGUAUACUGGGGUUAGUAGUAGGAACAGCAGCAGCUAUUUGAUUUAACUGAGAUUCAAUCAUUUUAUUAAAGCUAAUUUGAUUCUUGAUGGCAGUAGAGAAAUUAUCCAUUCUAUUAUUUAUAUUUUCUAGCAUUUUAUCAUUAGACACCAAUUUCUUAGAUAGAUUAUCCAUUAGCUUUCCUUGAUUAGACACUAACUCUCUCAAAGGUGGAAAAUUAUUAUUAUUGUUGUAAGAAUUGUUACCUUGAUAAUUACCUGAGUAGUUAGGCCUCUGUUGAUUCCAACCUUGAUUUUGUUGAGGACGGUUGUAGUAGUAGUUGUUGUUGUUGUUGAUGUAGUUCACAUCCUCAAGCAUCUCAGGGCAGUGGUUGCCUGAGUGUCCAGUGUCUCCACACUCCUCACAAGUCAUGUGAGAGUCGUAGAUGUGCAUAACUUCUUUCUUGUCUCUAGCUCUAUCGUCGAGCUUCUUCAUGAGCAGGUCUAGCUUUGCAGACAGCAUGCCUACCUCCUUGAGCUGAUGUAUACCUCCACCUCUCUUGCGUGUCUGGGUCCUCUCUUCAUUCCAGCUUUGGUUGGACGCCAUCUUCUCCACAAGAGCUGUGGCUUGUGGUAUAGUAAGUGAUAAGAAUGCUCC